UUUGACAGUGUCUGUGAAGUUGGAGAAUUGUUUUUCAUCAGAAGGUGAUAAAGAGAGCUCGUAGGAAGUUGAGUUGACAUCAGCAAAACCACACAUAAGGUGAGUGAAGAGAGCAGAAUUUACAUCUGAAAUGAAGAACUCAUCGCCUGAAUCCCAGUAACCAGCUCUGAUUAAAGUUUGUGCUCUUGUAGGAAGCGAUUCUGAAAAUAUAAAAAUGUGGAGGACAAGAAUGAUAAUUUUGGAUGCCAUUGUGGGAACCUGGCUGCUGGAGGCAUACCUAGUAUGUCAUUAUAUAUGUAAUAUUCUAGGUAAAUCCCACAUCGGCAAAAUAUGGGUGAGAUACUGGGUUUAUAAGGGGUGAUUCACACUUUAAUUGGCAAGGCGCAUUUUGGGGGGUAUGGGCACCCCAGAAACAAAACCGUAAAGUGGAUAAUAUCCUAUCAUGUUUGGGUUGGAUCAUGACACUAUGGUAUCAGAGCGGCUCCGCGUGUCCUCUUGAGCGAUGGCGAAUCAGAGCGGCCCCAUGUGUCCUCUUGAGCGAUGGUGGGACAAACGUCCUCGCUCGUUGAGUCCCCAAGGGGGGUGAAUGUAACACCCUAGAUAAAUCUCACAUCGGAAAAACACGAGAGAGAUGCUGGGUUUAUAAAGAGUGACCACACUUUAAUUGGCAAGACACAUUUUGGGGUGUAUGGGUGCCCCAGAAACAAACUUGUGCGGGCCUUCUAAAGGCCCAAAGCGGAAGACACGUUUUGGGAUGCAUGGGCACCCCAGAAACAAACCUGUGCGGGCCUUAAGAAGGCCCAAAGAGGAAGACACAUUUUAGGGUGUAUGGGCCCCCCAAAAACAAACUUGUGCAGGCCUUCUUAAGGCGCAAAGCGGACAAUAUCUUGCUAGGUUUAGGUUAGGUCAUGACAUUAUUACAUUAUGGUAUUAGAGCGGCUCUACAUGUCCUCUUGAGCGAUGGUGGGGCAAACCUCAGCGAGGACGCUGAGUCCCUAAGGGGAUGUAUGUAACACCCUAGGCAAAUCUCACAGGGGGUGUAUGUAACACGUUAGGCAAAUCCCACAUCGACAAAGCACGGGAGAGAUGUUAGGUUUAUAAGGGGUGAUCCACACCUUAAUUGGCAAGACAUGUUUUGAGGUGUAUGGGAGCCUUAGGAACAAAAUUGUGCGGGUCUUAUUAAGGCUCAAAACGGACAAUAUCUUGUCAAGUCUGGGUUGAGUCAUGACAAUAAAUAUGUACACACACAAAAUGUAAUGAAGAAAUUAUCUUAUACCGAUUGAGAUUAGUUAUUGCACUAAUAAUACAAACUUGAGUCAACUUUCAACUUAUGAGCUUAGUCCAUAAGUUUUUAUACGAUAUCAAAAUCAAGUUACGGAUGAGGGACCCUAUAAUACCUUCCAACCUAACUUAAUAAUUAAUCUUAACCAAUGUGACAUACUUUUUCUAUCACUUUAUCACGUCCAAGUUGAUCUUUUGGCUUUGUCUUUUUUUCAUGAUAAUAAGUGAUAAGAUUGAAGUUCUUAAAUUAAGCUAUGACUUUUUACCUCCGCUUAGCUUGACUUCUGAAGUUGGAGACUCGUUCUUUUGUAUUGAGUUUGUUGGUAUUUAAAUGAACUCGGAGUCUUCGACGUGUUUCUGAAGCAAAGUCAUUAUUCCUCAAUGACUCCAUCCAUGCAGUUGGAAGGCAAAAUCUUGUGAAAAUAUUUUCUAAGUUGAUUCAGUCCAUGAUCAAUGUGCACAAAACGCAAAAUCUUGCGAAAAUCAAACCCGUCCUCACUCAUGAGCUCGAUUUCUAGCUUAAACUCCUCCUUACUCAUGACAUACUAUAUAAAAUAUCGAGUUGACCUCACUUUAUUAAAUUACAGCUUGUUAUUGAAUUGAGUGUUGCCUUAAUUAAGCUAUCAACUUAAUAAAGUGAUUGUCAUUAAGAAAUACACUUAGGUAGUGUUUACUUUUUGGAUUGGAGUGGAAAUUCUGAGAAGUGUGAAUCCUAGGAUUAGGAGUGUGGAGUGGGAGUGGGAGUAGGUUGUUUACUUACACUGGAAUGAAAAUAUGGAAUGAAUAUUAGAAUCUAAUUUAUGUGUUUACUUUGUCUUGGAUUGGGAGUAAAUAGUUUCAAAUUACAAUUUUAUCCUUAUUUAAAGAAUUAUAGUUUUUAAUUACAAAGUUAAUAAAAAAUAUAUUUAAUGAAUAAAAAUUUAUUUUAUUAUUUUAUUAUAUUUGUAAAUUUAUAAUAAUUAUUAAUAUUCUUAAUUAUGUACAUCACAUUUUUUAUAAUUUUAAUUAUACAAAAUAAAAAUUAUUGAUAAGGGAAAUAUAAAUUAAACAUUUUUACUAUUAACAUAGUACAAAAUUAAUAUUUUCUUAGAAUAAACUAUUUAUUAGUAUUAAUUAUUAAUAUUAAAUAAAUAUAAUACUAUUAUGUUUAAAUAAAUAUAAUCAUAUUAUAUUUUCAAAUAAAGAUGGUAUAUAGUAAUAUUAUUAAUUCUCUAUCUAUAUAAUAAUAUUAUUUUUAAGUAAUUUAAACUUAAAAUCAAACCAAAUUAUUAUUUAGUUAAAUAUAAUAAUAUUAUUUAAAUAUAAUUAGAGUAAAUUUAAUAAAAGGAGGGUAAAAAAGAAGGGUAAAUAUAAAAUGAAACAUUAUUUUAUUUUAUUUUAUUAUAGUAAAUUUAAAUAUAAUUAUAUUAAAUUUAUUAUUAUAUAAAACAAUAAUAUAACAUUAUUUAGUACAAAAUUAAUAUUUUAUUAGAAUAUAAAUGAAGAUAGCAUAUAGUAAUAUUUAUUAAUUCUCUAUUAAUAUAAUAAUAUUAUUUUUAAGUAAUUUUAACUUAGAAUUAAUGUAAAUUAUUAUUUAGUUAAAUAUAAUAAUAUUAUUCAAAUAAAUAUAAUAUUAUUUAUUUUAGUAAAUAUUAAAUAUUAAAUUAAAUAAGAAAAAGGGUAGAAAAGGGAGAGGUGGGAGUGGAUUCCCACUCCCACUCCCCACUCCAAAAAUGGGUGAGGUCCACGAAGUGAAAUUCUCAAUCAUUGCUCAAAUUAUUGAAGUAAAUACUGGAGUAGAAGAAAUCAACACUCCUCACUCCUACUCCAGAAAGUAAACACAGCUUUAGUUACUUCCUGAUGGUAAGAUUCAAUAAUAUUGUAAUUUUUAUAAAAAAAAUUAAGACUCAUAUACCUUUUCCUUGUGUAAUUUAAUUUCCAGUCAAGUCCACCCUCCCGUUUUAUUAUAAAAGUCUAUACGAACAUACGUUUUACUCAAUGUUUACUUAGAAACAAAUGGCGCGCGUACGAUUGCCGAUCUAGUACCACUCUCGUAUACUUGGUGGGAUUCGGUUUCACCAAAUUUGUAGCAUAUAUUUUACUUUAAUGAGAAAAUCAAAUAAUGAUUGAACAAAUAAAUUUUCUUUUCUAUAUACUUUCUUAAAAUGUAUGGAGUUGGUAAAGUGCAAAUUCAUUUUUUAGCCCUUUGACUCCUCCAAAAUCCAAACUCAAAUUAAUGGUCAGUUAAAUAAUGUUACUUGAAAAUCAUUCGGCCAAAUAUUUAAAAACUAUCAUUUCACAAAGUCAAAGUUUCACUGGUUAUUGAAUUAUAGAAUGUGCUAUCAUUUCCUAGCUAGAAUUUGUUUAAUUCUAUUAAUUUACAAUCGUUUUUCAUUUUACUUAAUUAAUUAAAGUGAAUUUAUUAUGUAUACAUUCUACGUACGUAAAAUUUUAAAAUUCAGUGUUGAAUUGAAUUGUACUAAAUUUUUUUAUAAUUUUUUGUCGGACCUGCGUUUUUAACAGUUUAAUAUUAAUAUUGAUAGCACAUAAUAUACAGGAUUAAGAGAGAUUGAUUUCGAGUGCUACAAUAAUUUUAGGAUUGCAUGCACAAGGGUUUAAAAACAAAGUGUGCACUUAAUUACACUAAACGAGGGUGCAUUUUUAUGAUGAAAUAAAAACUGUGUACAUGGUUCUAAAAGUGGCUCCAUAAUUAGUGUACAUUAACAUUCAUCUAGCUACCACUUCCGAAAAUGAUAAAUCACAAGCCGAACAUUUUUCCAAUUGUGUUGUAGAUAAUAGUUCAAUCCCAAUUUCAUCAACUUGUUUUGAGAAAGCAGGCUUCUUGGGAGUAUUUGUAUUUGUGGUUUCAUUCUUGAGCAUUGAGGAAACUUGUAACAUUGUAGGUCGAUCGUUUGGAUUCUCCUGGACACACAACAAAGCUAUUUCCAGACAUCUCAUUAAUUUACAAGGGGAAUUUGUAUCAUCUAGUGAUGAAUCCACAAACUCCACGCCUUUGCCACCUUUCCACAACUCAUAUGCCUGAAAUUAUCAAGUACCAUUUUGUUACAUAAUUUAUACUUCUUAAUUAAGUGCGCAUAUGUGUACUCAGGGUUACUAUAGCCGAAGAAACUUACGUGCUCUAGAAUGCUUAAAUUUUCAUUGAUGCCACAUAACAUUGAAAGCCUCUUUCCACUUAUAAUUUGUAGAAGUAAAACUCCGAAACUAAAAACGUCUGAUUUGGUAGAGUAUACACCUUGUCUGGCGUACUCAGGAGGAAUAUAGCCGCUGCAUUCAAAAUAACCAACAAUAAGUAUAUAUAAAUAAGGGAUUUCACAAUUUAAUAAAUUUGUAAAACCCAUUUUAAAUUGUGGUAAAAGUCCAUUAUGCAUUUUAUUAAAGAGCUGAAUUCUUUAUUCGAAACCUAUAUUUAUAUAUAUAUAUAUAUGCACACACAUGUAUAUACACAUAGGCAUAUCAAGUAAACACAUCAUAUAUGUAUUAAAAUUCUGUGUUAGCUUGGUCCCCAUAUACAUACAUGCGUAUAUAACAAACAGAAGCUUGAGUAAAGGAUAUCAUUUAGAUGUAAUAUACUUACAUUGUUCCCACAACUUGUUCUGUAUUCGCUUCGAGACUCUCUUUUGCAAAAAUCCUAGCCAAACCAAAAUCUGAAAUUUUAGGUUUCAUAUCUUCACCUAACAAAAUAUUACUGGCUUUCAAGUCUCGAUGAAUAAUAGUCAGUCUUGAAUAUUCUUGGAGGUAUAAAAGCCCUUGAGUUAUCCCUUCAAUGAUAUGAACACGUUUUUUCCAAUCCAAAAUAAGUCUUCGGAUGGGAUCUACAACAAAUAUAUAGUUUUGGACAAUAAGUGAUAUGCAAAUGAAUUUUAUACACGAUUAAUAUUAACUUGAUUCCAGAACAAACCAAAAAGGUAGCAAUCCAAGCUUUUGUUUGGCAUGUACUCGUAAACUAGCAUCCGUUCCUCACUGUCAAUGCAAAAACCUAAAACUAUGAUAAGAUUUACAUGUUGGAGUUUGGCAGUAAGCAUAACCUCAUUCUUGAACUCCUCAAAUCCCUGUGUGGAUGUUUUUGAAAGUUUCUUCACUGCUAUCACCUUUCCGCAGGGUAAUACACCCUGCAAUCCAAAAAAAGAAACCAUGUUCAUAUAAAGCUUUCACUAAUUAAAUAAGCUGAGAAAUGUUAGCCAAACAAUAUGUUACCCUCCAAAGUUGAGGGCACCAUUUUUUAAGUCCUUUAAGUCCCCAUGGACGCAUAAAUCUCCUCUCACAAAAUAUGGAUAUGGGUAGAGACAUAUUCCUAAAUAUUAGUAGAAGUAGUUAUAUCUCUCUAGUGUGAGGUUAGAAGUCUCAUCUCUAAUAUGUAUAGAUUUUAAACUAUAUGUUUUGGGCCUCUGAAUUUUACUGUGGAUUUUGUGUGCGCGCGCGCGUGUUACCUUGUAAACAGGACCAUAUCCACCUUCCCCAAGCUUAUUUCUAACUGAAAAUCCCUCGGUGGCCACCUCAAUAUCAGCAAAAUUAUAUACUCUGAGGUUAGGAACAUUUCUGUUAAAGUCUCCAGCUUCUGCUUCAUUAUUUGCUCUCUUGUUUGAUGCUUUAGCAGAGCCCUCUGUUCCUAACAUCAACCAAGAGUAAAUAUUAGAUAAUUAAUUAAAUGUCAGUCUCAGUUACAUAUAUAUGAAUGAAAUACAUACUUAAUUAUAAUUGAUAGCUGAAAAUUGUUACCUUCAAUUAACUUGAGCCUUUUCAUCCUGGUGUAUUUAUAUGCACAAAAGCCUAGAAGGAGAGUCAAAGCUGCCGCUGCAGUCGAAAUGAGUACCAAGGACAGACGCCGGUUAUUACUAUGUUCAUCUUUGUCAGCUGAAGCAGAAGUAGUCCUGUCUUUUUGUGCUGGAAAUAUGCAUAGUUCACAAAUUAAUAAUAACUAGCAAGAGAUGCCGUAACAAUCAUUAUUAAUCAGAGAGAACAAUUAUUGCAUAUAUAAGUACCUGCAGCUUGAGAAAGCUCCCAAUUAUGAUCAUCAAAAGGAACUCGCAACACAUAGUAACCAAGCAAUCUCUUCUCUUUGGCAUAGGCGAUCUUAGCUCUAACAGCCUCCACAUCAUCAAAACCAAACCAAACCGUCCCAGUGGAGAAGUAAUUCACCACAUAAGUUGAAUUGUACAUAACUUGAACAUUAGGACCAUAGGUCUUGAUGUGAUUCUUGAUAUCCCUAUAGGUCACAAAGCCACCAUUACUCAAAGCUGGUCCUGUUGCUGCUGCUCCAAUACCAUUGUCUUCAGAUUUCACAAGCGUCCAUGCAUAGCCGUAGAAAGGCAAACACAAAACCAACUUAUCAGCCGAUAACCCUCUCUCAAUCCAUGCCUUUAAAACCUGAUCGGUACUUCUAGCAUAGCCGCCGCUACUUGAGCCAUACAGAGCUGCAUGUGCCGCAGUGAAGUUUGUUGACAUAGGCUCGUAGUAGUUAGAAGUAACAACAUGAACCCAAUUCAAGUUUCGUUGCAUCGAAUUCACAAGGUACGAAUUGUCUGGUGGUGAAUAAUGAAACCCUGCGGUCAAGAUCAGCUGGGAUUGCUGGCGGCUAGAGCUUUUUGCCUCUAAUUGUGUGGCAGCAGCUCGCCACUCGUCAAAGAGUAUGCCCAUAUUGAGCAUAUCGGUGCUUGUGUUAGGAGCUGUCCAAGCAAAAUCUAGGCCCUGAAAGCCAUAAAGCCUAGCUAUUCUUAUUGAAGAGUCGAUGAAAGAUUUUCUGUGAGAAGAAUUUCUCACCAUUGAAGAAUAUAUAGAAUUGUUUGUAUAUAUUCCUCGUCCAAUGGAGAGAAGUGUAGUGAUUGAUGGGUUCUUUUGUUUCACAGCGUCUAUAAAUUUGGGGAAUAUUUGAUUUCCAUCAAACGGUGAUGAUAAAGAUAGCUGGUAAGUGGUGGAAUUGAUAUCAGCGUAAGAGCAAAUAAGGUGAGUGAAGAGAUCAUAAUUUAUGCGCGAAAUGGCGGACACUUCGCCUGAAUACAAGUAACCGACCCUGAUCCACGGUUUUGCUUUCGCGGGAUGAAGUUCUGAAUAGAACAACAUGUGGAAGAUGAUGCUGAUAAUUAUGGAUGCCAUUUGAGAGGCUUAAGCUUCUUAAUUACCACUUCGAUGGGAAUGGAAAUGAAUGCACACUAAGAGAAAUUAAAUAAACACAAGUUUCACAGUUCAUUAAGUUCUCAUGUGUACUACACAUACAUUGCAUGUUAAGAUGAUGAUGGGCGAUGCGACCAUUGCCGGAGAACUAAGAUUUUCUUCUAUCGCCUGUGUGACUUUUCAUGAAGAAACAUGAUGUUUUGAUUGACAUUUGGUUAAACUGAUGACAUAUUUCGGGCUACAAAUAUUAGUAUUGUUUUAUUAAAUAAAAAUAAUAAUAAUUAUACGUGCAUGUUGAAGGUAAUAUUGCAGUCUUUUGAGCCUGUGUUGAAUUUCAUUCAUUAUUACGAGCGUUCAUUUAUUAUCCAUCCCCUUUUUUCUCUGUGAGUCUGCUAGCUGUAGUCAUCUUAAAAGGAUAACAUGUUUAAUGCGUGUAAAUGCACCUCAGAAGUAGUUAAGAAAGACUUGAUCAAACCAGAUAAUUUUCCUCUUAACACAGAAGUAGUUAUCGGACUAAUUAAGAUUCUAAUCCAUUUAAGAAAUAUUCAAAAAGGGUUAUUGUCACUACUUUAGUCCUUGUUGUUUUAUUAAAGAAAGAAACAAAGAAAAAAAAAAGAAGAUAUUUAAAGAAGCAUCACAUAAAUCCUUCCUAAUUAGAUUUUGUUUCAUUCAAGUUCUUGACUUAAUUUGACUGCUUGGAAAAAUUAGUAAAAAGGUAACAAUUAAAAAAAAUGUAAAUUCUAGUUAUUAGACUAAAUAUAUAUAAAUUUGCAACAAGUAGCAAAAGUUUAGAAUAUGAAAAACCCUAUUUUGUUUACGAAAUAAAGAAAAUUCGAAUCAUUUUUAAAAAAAAAAUCUCUAAAAGUUUGAAAACUAAGAUUUUAAGGUCCUUCUAGACUAACCAUAAAUAACAUGAAUUUACCAAAUUAAGCAAACUUGAAUUAUUAUUACACAAUAAAAUUUAACUAAUGGAAAUAAGAAAACAAAAUAAAUAACACUCAAAUUCGAUAUCUAAAAAAUAAAGAUAAAAAUAAUGAAAGCAAUAGAAAAAAUAAAAUAAAAUAAAAUAACUAAAACUUGCAAAAUGACCAUGAAAGAAAUAAUUUUUUUUUGCUGAACCAAAGGGCCGAUACGUAUAGCCCUAUUGUACUAGAUUCAUCUCGCCGCAAGUUUCAAAACAAUAUAUUAUAUGUUUUAAACGAACUCUUAUAAAUUAAGUUAUGACCUUAAAAAAAUUCCUACUCAUCUUACAUAAACAUCCUAUGUCACUAUAUAGUUAUACAAUAAUAAUAUAAUCCAAACACUCAUGAAGCAUAACUCAUGCACCUCCACUAAUAACCGUGAAAUUUAAUCACAUUUUACAAGAGAGAGGAAUGUUCUCAUUUAUUCGAUUUUCUGCUAGGUUGUGUUAGGUUGGGCUUUUUAGAAUUUCUUUGACGAAAAGUCAUUCUCUUCAACGGCCAAAACUUGGGCUAGUGGGCAAUUAUGAAAGUCCAUUGGAUGCAUUGGACCAAACUAAAAGUCCAAAUUUUUUUUUAUUCUUGCAAAAAAAAACUAUAUCUGUAUAUUCUGUUCAACAAUCCAAAACUUGGGCCAAUGGGCAAUUAUGAAAGUCCAUUGGAUGCAUUGCAUCAAACUAAAAGUUAUAUAUAUAUAUAUAUAUAUAUAUAUAUAUAUAUAUAUAUAUAUAUAUAUAUCAAUAAAUGAAAUGACACAAUACAGUUGGCUUGCCGUUGCAAAGCUUCUUUGUUUGUUAUUAUUUAUUGGCUUAUUGCAAUAAAGACUAAAGAGAGCUUUGAGCCAUGCAGCAUGGGAAGCUCCAUUAAAAAAAAUAAAAGAAUUUAAAGCUUCAAGGACAUAAAGCGUGCCCACCCAAUUAAAUUUUUCUUUAAAAAAGAAAAAAAAAAGGCUGAAAUUGCAAUGACUUGAAUUUAUCAUCAAUUCUGGCUUAAUUUGCCCCCCGUCAUUUUUUCAAGGAGAAUGUCCAACUCAAUUGUGACGGCUACUGCUUCAAUUUUAAUUUUAUUUUUCUCAAGAAUAGUCAUUUUCAUCCACCAUAUUCCUGCAUCCUGAUGCGUCCUUAUUGCUUAUAUUAUUAUAGACCACUUUUGGAAGCAUAACAAUUUUUGCACACAUGGUCUCCAUCUUGCGGACCCAAAUGUUGAUGAUAUACUUGCAUGCUCCAAAAUGAGCCCUUUUAAUAACUUAUCAUCUGGUAAAUGAUAGUUUAUUUAUUUAUUACAUUUAAUAACUUAUCAUCUGGUAAAUGAUAGUUUAUUUAUUUAUUACAUAACAAAUAUGUUAUGCCAUAUGCCACCUAUUAGUGAAAGAUGUUUAAAUAACUACUCUUGUAGUAAACUCCUGAAUGAUGGCAAGUUAGAUUUAGACUUAAUGCACUAACUUCGAUAUAUAUUUUUUUUUUUUACAUGGUAAUUAUUUUCUUCUCGCUAGGAAGUUGCAAUGAUUGAUAAUACGGGAGCAUUUUGCUUUAAUACAAUCCUUAAUUGAAGAGUUUCUAGAGAUGUUUAUUAUUAUUAUUAUUAAUACCGCGUUGGUCAGGAUUUGAUUACUAUAAUAUUGACGAUUCGAUUUCUAACAAUUUUGUUUAUUAUAAAAUUAAAACAAAUGAGUAGUCAUCUAGAAAAUCAUAAUCUCUUUAAAGGCAUCAAAAGGCAAUGGCAAUGUAAAAUGAAUGUGAAUCUAUUAGUAACAUGUUUACACGUGUAUUAAUCUUAAAAUAUUUAAAUAAAUAAACCAUAGAUUCUUGGUUCCAAUAUGAGCUUUAUAGUUAAGGAGACCCACUGCGUAUGAUGGACUAGUGAGUUGUGAGAGAAAUCUCUUAGGCCGAAAGAAUCUUAAUCAAAUCGUAUCAUCAUAAAAAAAUUCCAAAUUUUGUUUUCUUCUUUUGACAAAAACCCUCGUUCAAAAUGAUUCAUAUAAAUUUAUCAAUAAAAGAUUUUGAAUCAAUUAGAAAAUGGAAUUGUCUUGCGCACAUCUUUUGCUCGAUCGUUCAGUCCUUAAUCAUGUUUUAAUUAUAACCCAAACACGACAAUGACAUGUACGAUCUACAUAAAUCCUCGAUAUUAAUUGUCAAUUGGUUCUGCGAAUUCAAUGUGCAAAGUCUCACAAGUCAUAAUAAAUUUAGGAAUGAAAAGUACGAGCGGGUAGCAAGAAACCAUCACUCAAUUCCAAUUGAUAUGUACACUUCAUUCAUUUUGUCUUUUACAUAAAUGGAAAAACUAAAAAGCGUAACAAUUAUUAAACACAUGCCCACUGCCCUGCCACUCGGCCAAAGAGGGGCCGUUGCUCUCUUACAUUGGUUCAAUGAAGGGAUUCAUUGAAGGGUGUUUCGACGACGGGAGCGGCAUUAAGAUGAGUGAUCACUUGAAAAAUCUUUGAAUUGUACCUCUCUUUUUAAACCAACGAGCUCGUAGAUCAGUUGGUAUAGAGUUGUUUUAUUAUAAUUAAAAUUUUAGGUUUAAGGUUUGAAAAUGCUGUUAUGUUAAAAUAUUUGUUGGGAGAAUUUUGUCAUUCUAGCGUUCAUAUCGGAUUCGAAUCUGAAUUAAUCGGAGUUUAAUAUAGUCUUUGAAUAUCAUAUGAUUUAAUACACAAAAAAAAUGAAGGAAUUCAUCUCUCAAUUAUUAUUAAAAAUAAAAAUGCGGGAUGUGUAUUUCAGUGUAAAUAAUGACAAUAAUAAUAAUACAACACAUCCCCAUCAAAAUCUCCAUCAAAAACCUAGCUGAUGCUGAUGCUGAUGCUUCUGCAGAUUCUGAUUCCCCCUCCCUUUUAGCCCAGGAAGCAGAUGAUGACAGCAUCACGGUACAAGGAAAGAAAGAAAGAAUAUCAUUAUACUCCCACAUCUUCUUAAACGUUGUGCCCUCUAUAUGCACAUAUGCAUGUACAUAUUAAUUAUUAUCAUAUUGUAGUAAGUAAUGUUUUAGCUUUCGACAUUAACAACAUUGUGAUUAAUCAUAAUGCCACAUUAUACAGUUCAAAUAUGAAAGGUUAUGAAAUUAACUUCUAUAUACAAAUGCGUUACAUAAAGUGCGCGACAUCGUUCUUUUUAAUACAUACAGUAAAUUAAUGAAUAAUCAUUCGUAAAAAAAAAAUGUUGUCCGAUAGUGAAUUAGCUAUACAAGUAGAGCCUCUACAAAUUAACAGGGUGAGACCAUAUGAAAUCUAUUAAUUAAAAAAGAGAUUAAAUAAUCAAUAAUUUAUUAAUUUAUUAAUUUACAGAGUUAUUUAUAAUUCAAUUAACAUACAUCAACAAUACUUCAUAAUUUCCUAUUACAAUUUGAGAAGUCAACCGCAGGGCUUCUAGGUGUUAAGAAAAAUAAGAGAUUGAGGUCCAAUUAGAUUUAAAUUUUAAGAAAAGAACAAGUAACAAUAUAAUCAUAUUUUAUGUAAGUAAGUGAUAAUAGAGUCAUAUUUUAUUCAAUUAAAAUAUUAUAGUCAACUACAUUUAUAAUUUCAGUAAAUUAUUAAUUUGUGAUUUGAAUAAGACGAUAAAGUUAUAUAAAUUUUUUAAAAAAAAUUAUUAUCGCAUUAUUUUAUUAAAAUUAUUAAUUUUAAUGUAUUGUCAUAAAAUUGUGUGAAUUUGUUAUAUAAUAGAUAUUAUUAAUUUACCGAAUAUCAAUUGAUAGAGAUUUUAUAGCAUGAGUACCUAAAUUUUGACGAAAUAAAUGAACAUUUGUUUGUACCUUGCAGGUAUGUGUCCGUUUAAUAAUAGUAUAAUGUACUUUUUUUCUUUUUUCCUUCUUACGACAAAAAGUUAAGUAGAUUUUGAGGUCCAGUCGUAAAGAGACAACUUGGGUAAUUGUGUUUUUUUGUAAUGUGCGCAAUUGCUAGCUUUUCCGAUGAUUUUGAUUUGGGAUUGCGUUGUAUAAUUUGCACAAUCAUCUCCUUCACCUUUGGAUUCUGUAUCUCUCUAUUUUGUGCUCUUUCUCUCUGAAUGGUAGCCACAUAUACGACUCUCUUUGCUCUGAAUACAUGAAAUUAAGGGUGGGCGCGGUUCGGUUCGGUUCGGUUUUUUACUAAAUUUUUCAUAAUCGUUCGAUUACGAUUAUUUUAAAAUCAUAAUCGCGAUUAAUCAAAUUACUGAAAUAAUCAAAUACUCAAUUAAUUGAAAUAAUUUGAUUCGGUUCGGUUCGAUUAUUUCAAUUAUAGGCCUAUUGGGCCUAUUUUGAGCUUUUUUAAAUUUAAAACCUUAAAUUAAUAAAUCUACCACAAACAUAAAAAGUUAACAAACAAAAAAUCAAAAAUAUGUCUCGAACAAUGUUCAAAUAACAAGUUCAAAUCAAAAUAAAUCAUAAUCCCAAUUACUCCUCAGUUGCUUGUUCUUGUUGAGCUAGUAUUGGCCUACCAAAUUCUACAUUAACAAAUUAAAAAAAAAUGUUAGAAUGAUUAGUUAAAAGUGAAAUAAUCAAAACAACAUAUCAAAAUAUAGUAGUAACAUAUUACCUGCUUCAAUAACUUCAUAGAAUUCAGUUCCCUCUUGAGUAGGUUGUAUUAUCCGUUCUCCUAAUAGAGUUGAGCAAAGCCAAUUUUGAGUGCAAAUUAAUGACUCAACAGUUUUAUGAGUUAAAGAACUUCUAAAAGGAUCAAGAACACGCCCUCAUGUGCUAAAUGCCGAUUCCGAAGCUAUAGUAGACACUGGAAUUGCCAAAACAUCCUUGGCAAUCUGAGACAAAAUUAGAUACCUAUGCCCAUUCAACUUCCACCAAGUCAAAAUAUCAAAAUGGGCAUUACUAGUACUCUCAUUAGCAUCCGUCAAGUACUUUUCAACAUCAUUUUUCGAACUAAUGUCAUCAUUUGAACUUUGCUUCAUCAUUUUGAAAGAUGAAAAAAGAUCAAUUGACAUUAUACUACUACUAGCACUAGCACCACCACCACCACCACCACCACCACCACCACCACCACCACUACCACUACCACCAUCAUGGAUAUCACCAAAACAAACACCACCACUAUUCCUCACAUCACUCCCACCAAUAUAGCUAUUAUAUAGCUUCAUCAACAACUCCUUAAUAUUAGAUUUCAAUUCUUCAACCUUCCUAGAUUCAUACAUGUUACUAAAACAAAAUGUAACAAACUCUAAUUUACAUCUAGGAUCAAACACAUUUGCUACAAAUAAUAACAUGUUAACCUGAUCAAAAGAAUCACCACUACCACUACCACCAUCAUGGAUAUCACCAAAACAAACACCACCACUAUUCCUCACAUCACUCCCACCAAUAUAGCUAUUAUAUAGCUUUAUCAACAACUCCUUAAUAUUAGAUUUCAAUUCUUCAACCUUCCUAGAUUCAUACAUGUUACUAAAACAAAAUGUAACAAACCCCAAUUUACAUCUAGGAUCAAGCACAUUUGCUACAAAUAAUAACAUGUUAACCUGAUCAAAAGAAUCACCCCAAUAUUUAGCAAACAUUUGUUCCAUUUUUUCGACCAUUUUUCUUAACAAAUCAUCACUAGAAGUAGCAAGUGACUUCAAAUUAAUUAGAACUUUUGCCAUUUCAUUUAAGAAAUCAUUGGAAGUGACAACAAGAGAGCUACUAAAUUUCAAGGUCACAUAAUAAAAAACCGAUAAAAAUUUGACUAACCUCCUUGCAUUUCCCCAAUCGUCAUUGCUCGGUGGCCCUUCCCUCUUUUUUUCACCCUCCUCCUCAACAAACCAAUUAACAUAAUGUCCAUCAUCUUCCUUCAUCCUAUCAAAUGCUUUUUCAAAUACAAUCGCCUUAUGCAACAUCAAAUAUGUUGAAUUCCAUCUAGUAGGCACAUCCAACACCAUAAGCCCUCCAUAUGAGAUUUUCUCCCUAUCAACACAUGUUUUAAACUUUUGCAAUCUUACUGGAGAGGAUCUAACAUACUUUACUGCAUUGCAAAUACUAGCUAUUGAAUUAUUCACCUCCACCAACCCAUCUUGCACAAUCAAAUUUAUUAUGUGUGCCGAACACCUCACAUGCAUAUAUAUACCAUUCAAAAUCAUUGAAUUCACACUCCAAUUUGCUAACUUCUUCUUCACAUAAGUUAUUGCAACUUUAUUGGCACUUGCAUUGUCCACUGUAAUUGUGAACAACCUCUCAAUCCCCCAAUCAAUCAAAUAUGUCUCAAUUAGCUUCCCAAUACCAUCUACUUUAUGAGUAGCUAUAGGUGUGAAACUAAGAAUCCUUUUGUGCAACACCCACUCCGCAUCAAUAAAAUGAGCAGUAAUAACCAUGUAGUUAGACAUUUGAAUUGAUGUCCACGUAUCUGUGGUAAUACACACCCUCUGCUUGCUUGCACCCAAGACACUUUUUAACAACCCUUUUUCAUGUUGAUACAAUUCAAGAAUAUCCCUUAUAAUUGUUCUUCGCGAUGGCACAUCAAAUCUUAGGCAACAAGUUUGCAUAAACUCUAAAAACCCUUCGGCCUCCACAAAGCUAAAAGGUAAUUCAUCAUUGACAAUCAUCUUCACAAGUGCCAUUCUACAAGCCUCUUGACUAAAUCCGCCACUAACUUUAACAACUCCAUCAUCUUUAUCUUUUCCCUUUUGACGGAAAAGUACUUGUUGCUUCAGAUCCCCUUCAACCUUUACAUCUUGAUAUGACCUACAUCUAUCCAAAUGAUUCUUCAAAUUAGUGGUAUUUCCUCUAUUAGCUACAAAGGUUUUACGGCAAUGAUGACAUUUUCCUUUGUUUCCACAAGAUAGUUUGGUAAAAUGAGCCCAAAUAUUUGAUCUCAAAGGUAUUUUUCUUUUUUUCCCAUCAUCAACCUCCACCUCUUGCACUUCCUCCUCAUCAUAAUUUUCCAUUCUUCACAAAAAAUCAACAUCACAGCAGCAAUAAAUCAACACAAGAGCAGCAACAAAUAAAAAGAACCUGAUGCUCAAUAAUUCUACUAACUAAUAUCAAUUGUACGCACAGAGAACAAUAUAUGUACAAGAAUUGAUUCCCAUAUUAAUUGAUAAAUAAAGCCAAAUAGAUAAAAAUAUGGGAUUUGUAUAAUGCUUUACAAUGCAUAAGAUAGUAAAAAUAUUAAAUAAGGGCUUUGCACCCCAUUUUAUAUGUACGCACAACACUUCACUAGUACAUGAUACUUUUCCACAAGUUCCCACAAGGGGAUCAAGCAGCCAAGAAUGCACAAACUGGAGGAAUGAGGUUAAUAGCAAACAAACUAUGUAGGUACAGCCAAAAAGCCGCUGUGAAGAUAUCAGAAUUAGAUGACAACCCUAAUUAACAAGCUUUACUACACCUGUAUGGACAGUAACAAUAGCUGCAGCUAUUCUAAGUUUUGGAUUCCAUCCCCAAAUGAUGUCAACAGAGGUGCAAUAUUAGAUGGUCUAGGAACAAGUCUCCGUUAAGUAUGCAAAAGGAUCUGAAGACACUAAUGCGAAAAUCACAAAAAAAAAAAAAAAUGGAGCGAAAUGCGGUGCUACAAAGACAUUGAUGUUCCUGAACAUUUACUUUUCAUUUGUUUUGUUGUAGUUGUAGUAAUAGGUAUAUCUGUAGCUGCUACGUAGACCUUAGGCAACAAAUGCCACGAACAUGAACCUAGUGACUUUUUGUGUGUGCGGACUUGAACUUAUCUACAUUUCUAUAUCACAAAAGAAGACUACACAAGCAGAUACUUGUGAAAACAAAACACUUCAAAUGGUCAAUAUCACUAAGUCACUUCCCAGAUCUGAAAAAAGCCUCCAUUCUACUUCAACUCAACAUUAUCAUCACUUAGAACAUCAACUUACAACAAGCCAUCACAACACAUACACAAGAAAUUUAAAUCAAAGCAGAAUAAGUUGAAAUCACAAGGCACAACCAAAUGAAUAAUUUGCAUUCCAGCAAAAUUUAAGUUCGAAAAAUGAUUAAGGCUGCGAUACACAGCCUGCUGGGGAAAGUGGCCCUUCCAUGUUGCCCAUCACGUGGUGAAAAGAAAAAGAAAAAAAAAAGAGAGAAAGAAAUGAAGAAUCAACUCACAAGUUGUAGCUUUGUGGAGAUCACGAUAUUUCCAGAUGACAGCGGCUACGGCGACGAGCAGCAGCGACGGAUACUCAGCGACGAGCAGUAGCGACGGAGACUUGGCAACGAGCAGCAGCGGCAACAGCAAGGACCAGCAGCGCGGAGACAAGCGACGGGGGCGAGAUUCUAGCGGCUGAAGGUCACGAGUUCAGUGGCUCAAGAUCAGAACUCAGAACUGAAGGAAUCUGAAGUGGACAAUUGGUUUAGAGAAUUAGAGUCACUAGGUUCAGGGAUUUCGGAUUUCGGUUUAUUUGAUAAUUGGUUCGGUUUUGCGGUUUUUUUUUUAAAACCGAACCGACUGAUUUUACUAUUUUUACUAUAUUACUUAUUCGGUUUUUUGAGUGUAAAAAAACCGCAAAAAAAACAAAACCGAACCGAACGGUUCGGUUCGGUUUUUGAUUAAUCAACUUUUUUUGCCCACCCCUGAUGAAAUAGGCUUUAGUUAUUUUACAUGAUCAUGUAAAUUAUUCUUGUAUAGUUAUUAAAUAAAAAUUAAAAAUAAUAAAAAUAAUAAGAUUUUAUUAUUUUAUAUUUCCACAGCUGUUGAAUUUUCAUCAAACGAUUAUGAAAAAAUCAUAUAUUUUAUAUGAUUACCCUUUUUUUAUGAUAACAAUCUCUCGUAAAAUAAUUGAUCACCCUUUUUUUUUAUGAAAAAUUGAUAUACUUGCUUACACACAUGACAUAUUCUCCUUGGAAGUAAAGAAAAAAUUUCCAUUAUUCUGCAUUGUGCAUCACAGUCCUGACAGCGUUUUAGGCUCUGUAAAUAGCAAGAAAAUAAUUUGUUUUCUUAUUUCCUUUUGCUAAUUGACAAAAUGAUGAGAAAAAAAAUGAAAAAUAAGGAAAAAAAAGUUUCUAUUAUAACAAGAAAAUAAAGAUUAAAGUAAAAUGCCAUGACACGUAGAAUUCUCUAAAACGAUAUCUAAAUUGAAAAGUGUAAUAAAUAAUUCGGGGAAGCUUGAAAAAUGUAACAACAAAAUUUGUGUCAAAUAAGAAUAAAAAUAAAAACUUAUUGGAUGGAGCCAAUAAAGUUUAGAAAGAUUUUUAUUUCGCUUAAGUUUAUAAUUUAGAGUCACAAGCAACAAGUUCGUAAACAACAUGAAUUUUUGAGGAUUGCAAUAAAAAUUGUGAUUGAUAACAACAAAUUUACAAUUAAUAAUUAAUAACAAACAAUGGCUACGUGGGUAUUUUCCAAUUUACGGAGCCUCAAGGGCCAAGGUUGACCUAAUAUUGCCAUAUAAAAAUAUUUUUUUAAAAGAAAAUAAAAUAUGAUCUAAAAGAAUGUGUACCAUGAUAUAAUUGAUAAAAUUUUCAUUCUUUCAAGUUCUAAGAGAGUCUAAGAGAAACGUGAAAGGCUUAAAGUGCAUAAUAAUAAUAAUAAAAGGAGAAAUUUUAAAUACUUCAGAUAUAUUACAACCACCACUUUAAUACAACCACUAUAUUACAACCACAUAUAUCAUGUCAUUAUUUGUUUGUUGUAUGACUGACAUGGUACAUCAGAUGUAUUCUAGAAUUUCUCUAAUAAAAGAGACAUGUGAAAGUGAGAGCAAUAAAAAAAAUAAAAUAAAACCCCUAAAUUGGAAACUUUUAAAGAAUAGUGAUGAUUGUCGAAGCCAACAAAAAUAAAUACCUACUCUAAAUAAAUUGUGUAUAGUGAUUGAGCUGGAUCGUGUCCACAGAGAUUGGUAAUUAUUUAAAUCCUUUUAACACGUAAAACAUAAAAUGGGGGUUUUGUUGACAAUAAUAAAAAUCAAAUUAAAAUAACAAGAAUGCAAAUUAAAGUUGUAAUUCAAAUUGGAGAAAGCUCUGGUUGAAGGAAUUAACUCAGCUUGAUUCGACUACUGAUCAUUGAUUCAAAUAUAAAUUAUUACUACUUAUGAAUAGACCGGUUAUAGCUACUGAGACCCUCUAAUAGCCAAUCUCUCCUUAACUAGUCGAUAACCAAGGUACGAUCGUUGGUUAUUUCCCUAAUCAAUAGACAACCCUAGAUACGAUCAUAUGAUUUAAUCAAUUGACAGCCUGAAAAACCAGAGAGACCCAAAUCCUAAUCAACAAACGCAUACGAUGGUUCAUUUAAAUUAGAUUGUUUAUUCUCAUAACACAACUCACUGCUAUGUUAUUUGUCACAAACAUUAAAAUCUUCAUACGAUAAAUCCUUUAAUUGACAAUAGAUUAAGUUGAUAAUUAAAUAGUGGCCAGUUAUCUAAUUAACAAACAUAAUCAUGAAAAUAAUUCAGAGAAUAAACAAAUACCAAAAAAGUAAUAAAACAAUUAAAGCAUAAGAAAGAUCUCACAGUAGUGAUGAAUCAAAGCUUCAUUAACCUUCAACCAGAAUAAUAGAUUUAGUUCUUCAUAGAGAGAAUAGAAAAAUUUAGAUCUAGGGUUUCUUUCUUUUCUCCAAUCCCCCUUUUUUUCACAAUAGAUUCCUCCCUUAAAUACUCUCUCUCUCUUCUCCUCUAGAGUUCUAUUUAAAAUAAAAUACUAAUAUCUAAAAUAUUAAAUUCGUAAUUACAAAAAUAACCAAAAAUACAAAACACGUUAAACUAAAAACUGUAGGUCCGUAGUUGACAGCACGCGCCCACGCCUUAUCAAUAAAGUUCUUCUGACGCUCAUUAUUUCUUCAAAAGAACAAUCAUCCUUAAACAUCAUCUUGUAGCUCAAUUUUAGCACCAAUCAAUAGAAUUGCACCUAUAAAAGUAAAACACAAGUAAAUCACUAUUAUUAAGUGCAAAACAUCGAUAUUAAGGGAAGCAAACAAUGCAAAACUAGUGCAUAAAUUGCACUCUAACAAAUUCCCCCACACCAAGAUGAUGCUUGUCCUCAAGCAUAUAACUCAAGACUAAUCACAAAUCUCCGCUCAAUUCUCAUCUCAACUCAUCCAAAAACAAUUUUAAGCAAGCAUACCUCAAGAAAUUAAGUCGAUCAUCAUUCGAAAGACAAGGAUUUUAAAGCAUAGAAUCUCAUAAGAUAGAAGAAGAACAUUCAACCACCAAGAAGAUCCAUUCAAAAUUCAACUGCAAUAAGAUUUAAUAGCCCUCUCAUUGACUUCACUCCAUUCACUCAAAGUGUUUAGGGUAUCAUUUAUGCACUCAAAUCAAAUCAAAUAAUGCUAUUACCAUAAGCUUGCUCAUAUAUCACAUCUCAAUCCACAAAACAUGAAUAAAAUGCAAAAAUCUAAGGGUCUUAAAAAGGUUGUAAUGGGGUUAAAUAAGUUAAAUGAAAAAGAAAGGUCUACGAAAGAAAAAGAGAUCAAAAUGAGAAGAAUGAACUCAUUGAAUGAACUUAUGAUAUCAAAAUGCUUAUUUCUACUCAAGUCACCAAGAAUGUAAACAUUUUUUUUCUUUUUUUCGAUUUUUGUCUUUUUUUUCUUUUUUUUUAAUCAAAAGAAAAGAAACGAACCUUGCACAAUUUAAUUCAAGCAUAAUGCUUGUUGAUCUAAUUGAGAAACUUUAAUACAAGGUAGAAAAAGCAACAAAAUAUAUACAAAAUAUAUCCGCACAAUGAGUCCAAAAAUCUCCUUAAAUUGAGGCUCAAAAAGAAGAAAAAUUGUUAAGUAGACAAAGAGAAUUAGAUGGAUAAUGGUUAAGACUCAAACAAAGAUAGCAAAUAAAGGUCUUCGGGUAGAAAAAAAAAAGAAAAUGCGAGAAACAAAUGUUUACAUAGAAACAAAUGGCGCGCAGUCGAUUUGUCAAUCUAGUACCACUCUCGUAUACUUGGUGAGAUUCGGCUAUACCAAAUUUGUAGCCUAUAUUUUACUUUAAUGAGAAAAUCAAAUAAUGUUUGAACAAAUAAUUUUCUUUUUUCUAUAUACUUUCUUAAAAUGUAUGGAGUGGGUAAAGUACAAAUUGUUUUUUUAGCCCUUUGACUCCUCCAAAAUUCGAACUCAAUUUAAUGUCAAUUAAAAUAAUGCUACUUGAAAAUCAUUCAACCAAAUAUCGUAAAAACUAUAAUUUUACGAAGUGAAAGUUUCACUGAUUAUUGAAUUAUAGAACAUGCUAUCAUUUCCUAGUUAGAAUUUGUUUAAUUCUAUUAAUUUACAAUCAUUCUUUAUUUUAUUCAAUUAAUUAAAGUGAAUUUGUUUUGUAUAAGUUCUAUAUAUGUAAAAUUUUAAAAUUCAGUGUUGAACUUAAUUGUACUAAACCUUUUAUAAUUUUUUAUCACAUCUGCAUGUUUAACAGUCUAGUAUUAAUAUUGAUAGCACAUAAUAUAUAGGAUCAAGAGACAUUGAUUUCGGGUGCCACAAGAUUUUUAGGAUUGCAUGCACAAGGGCUUACAAGAUUUUUAGGAUUGCAUGUAGGGGUGGGCGCGGUUCAGUUCGGUUCGAUUUUUAACUAAAUUUUUCAUAAUCGUUCAAUUACGAUUAUUUUAAAAUCAUAAUGGCAAUUAAUCAAAUUACCGAAAUAAUCAAGUACUCGAUUAAUCAAAAUAAUUCGAUUUGAUUCAGUUCGAUAAUUUCGAUUAUGAGCUUAUUGGACCUAUUUUGGGUUUUUUUAAAUUUAAAACCUUAAAUUAAUAAAUCUACCACAAACAUAAAAAAGUUAACAAACGAUUUGUUUCUUAGUUAAAAGUUUUUAAUCUUUUACUGCUUUUAUUAUUAUCCCAUUUUCGUGAUUGUUGGUAAAUGUGUCAAAUCAUAGGUGGAAAGCCUCUACAAAAUAAAAAUUAACCAAAAAAUCAAUUAAGAUUAUAGUUUAAUUAAGGAUCCAUACAGAGUUAGUUAGCAGAACCAGCUGGAAAAUGUUUUUGUCUGAACCUGUUGCAGAAAAUUAAUACUUGCUAGCGUUUUUUAUUAAUUAAUUUAGUUAUGAAUAUACAAACUUAAAAAGUCAUGAAUGAGACGUGUUUGAACUUGCUUUAGUUUUCAUCAGUAGUAAAGAUAGCACCGGCAAUUCACAGCACCAUCAUUUAGUUAUGAACUUGCUUUACGUGCUCUGGAAAUAUCAGUCAUUUUACAAAUGAAAAAGAAAUCAAGAUUUCAUGUUUCACCAUGCUUGGGUUGCUAUCAAACAUAGCAACACCAAAAAAUCAAAUCCAGUGAAGGAGAAUUACCAAAUACAAGGUCAAGAUUCCACCAUAUUAUCAAAAUUGACAUUUGACCGUCAUUAGUAGCAUUAAUUGUUUUGUAGCGUACAGAGCCACACAAAACACUAAGACUAAAGAAAUCAAAGAUGAAAACAAACACCAUAUCACAUUAAACAUUUUCAAACACGGCUCUAAGAUAUAAAAAUCAUGAUCAAUCUCAACAGUAUCCAGUUUGCGAUUUGGGAAAAGAAACUGAAAAAACCAAUCAUUCAAUCAUCUUUCAGCCAAAGAAACAAACCAUAUCUCACCCAAAUGGGGGAAAAGAAAAAACAAAAGAAUGAAUCAUAAAUCACAAAUCAAUUUUGGUAUACAAAUUACUAGUCAUGGUUAUAACUAAAUACAACAUCUCAAGUGAACGAACCUCAACAAAUUAUGAAACGAAACACGAAACAAUCAGCAGUAGCUCAAGUUAUUGGUUUUUAUUCUCUGCAAAAACAGAACAAACCAGAGAAAUGAGAGACAAAAACAGCAGCGAUAUUUACAUAACUCAAGCACAUUAACAAAAACAUGGGAACGAGGAAAAAGAAAUGAACUUUAAACCAAAUUCAUAAAACCGAAACGAAAAAUGGAACUUUUUUGUUCGAUUUUUUGUUCUGCUGAGAGAUUUUGUUGACAAAAACAAAAGAACCCAGAAAUGCUAAAGAGGAAGAGAGAGAAAUCAAUACGUGAUCGUAGUGUUAAAAAAAAAAAAAACCUCACAACAGUAGUCAGAUGGCAGCAGGGGAGCACCGUGACAGCAGCAACAAUUGAUAGUAGGUGACAGCGGCAAGUGACAGUGGCAGCAGCAGCAGAUGACAGCGGCUACAGCAGGUGGUAGCGGCGGCGGAGAGUCGUGAAGGACAAGCAGCAGCAGCAGCGGGGACGAGAUUCCAGCGGCUGAAGGUGCUGCGGCUUCGGUUUUCGGCUGAAGAUCAGAAGAAAUGAAGAAUGUGUUUAGUUUAGACUUUAGGGAUUGUUAUUUGACAUUCGGUUUAUUUGAUAUUCGGUUCGGUUUUUCGAUUUUUUUUUAAACUAAAAACCGAAUAGACUGAUUUUACUACUUUUAUUAUAUUACUCAUUCGAUUUUUUGGAUGUAAAAAAACCGCAUAAAUGCUGUAGAAAACUUAAAUUUUAUAGUACUUAGUUAGCUGCACAUAUAUAUAUAUAGGGCUACUAUAGCCAAAGAAACUUACAUGCUCUAGAAAACUUAAAUUUUCAUUGAUGCCACGUAACAUCAAAAAACUUUUCCCAGUAACAUUCGUAAAAGCUAAAAAUGUCUGAUUCGGUAGAGUAAACACCUCUAUGAGUGUAUUUACGAGGAAUAUAUCAAUAUAACCUCUACAUUUGAAAAUAACCAACAGUCUUUCAGUAUGUCUGUAUAUAUAUAUAUAUAUAAUCAGCUUCAGGUCUGGAAUUUAAAUUUGAAAAGAGUCUACAAUGUUGUAAAUUGCAUUUAUCACUGUUUUACAAUGGUAUAAAUUUAAUUAUAAAUGACUGUCAAAAAAUUAAUAGAUGGUUAUUAUAUAUGAUUAUAAUUAGAACAUUAAAAUUCAAGUCGACUCAUUUAUCUUUACGUUGAUUUUAUUCUUUGUGGUUAUACUUAGAAUAUUAAACAAUUAAGUCGACUAGUUUAUCUUUAUGUUGAUCAUUACAGGCCUCUUAAAUAUUUUAUUUACCUAUAUUUUCUUUGAUUUGUUAUUUUGAGUUGUAUGAAAUGUAGCUUUACUCCUGUUUUCUUUACUUUACUUUGGUUUUCUUUAUUGUUGAUAGGAAUUUUCUUGUUAAAACUAUAUGAUUCAAAUUCAUACUACAACCAUGAUGAAAUAUUUAAUAAAACCUUCAAACUAAAUCCACAUAUUCCAUGAGUAAGGACCCUGAGAUCACAUUUGUUCAAGUUUAUGCUUUAAGUAAAAUAAAAGUAGAAAUGAGAGUUUUAAAGAAGAAAUUCAGUUAUAAAUAAUUGUCAAAUAAUUAAUUGUUCAGCAUUUAUUUUAUAGGUCCCACUGUUGGGACUCCAUGUGAUCUGCCAACUGGCAGGCCUUAUGUGGUUGGGUGAACCAAGGUGUGCCUACCCCAUAUAAGUUCCUCUCUUCUCAUAGAUAUAACUAUCAACGGCGCUAUGUCAUGUCCAACAAGGACUCUUCGAAACUUUUUAUGUGAAUUUUAAACAUUACCCCAUUACGCUUUUGAAACACCAAAACUACCUCUCUUAAAUUUUUAAAAAAGGAAAAAAAUACAUGUUAAAAGAAUGUUUUAUGUCUUUAGCUUAACAGUUAGCACACGUAUUGUACUCUUGACAUUUUUCUUCUGUAAAUCUUCACUUCUUUUUUCUUUGAUUUUUCACACGUCACUGCUCUUUUAUCUCUAAAAAAUUAAAUUGUCCGUAGAAGCUUACUAUUUAAUUUACGGAUCUAAUUAUUUAGCUCUAAAUAUUUAGAUAAGUUUUCUUAAUUAAUUACCACUUCUUUAAUUUAUUUGGUGAUUUCUCUUAGAUGAAAGAAUUAAGGUUAUGUCCUAGGAAAAAUAUUAACUCUCAUAUUAUAGUGUUGAUAAUGAGGUUAUCCUUAAAUUUUUAACACAUGAAAACACAUCGAGGUAACUAUAAAUUCAUUGAAGGAAAUAUUUUAAUAAAUUUAGAUUUUGGUACAUAUUAUUUGUUGAAUUUUUUUUCUUUCCAAAUUGAACGUAGCCCUUAUGACAUUCAAUUCGUGAGAGUGCCACUAAAUGUAAAGUGUUGAACUAGAUCAUAUUUCUCCCUUAUGCAAACUCCAUCGUUUAUUUAUAUUUCAAUUUUGUGGCCUAUUUUCGAGUUUUCUAGUUUCACAGAGGGCAUCUUGGAUUUCUCUACGCUGUCUAUAGUCUCUAGUCCAAAUGAAGAAAUCGAAUUCACCAUGUACUGUUUGGGAGAAGUACGUCGACGAGACCAGACAUGAUGAGCAGAUAUCUGAUGGCAGAGUUCUGCGAACAGGUGUGUCCUGUAAGAGACUGGUGACCGGGGAGCAGGAGUAGAAAUAUUUUGCUCGUCCGCGAGAAUGCCGUCCACGAGGCUGGGCUCCUGCUGUAGCAUGGAGCAUUCCUGCUAAAGGUUUUAAUCGAGGAGACCCGGUCAACGAGAAUUGGUGCGGCGGGCUCUGCAAUCCGAAAAUCAAGGUACUAAGGCCACGUAUCCACCCACGAUUACAGAAAUAGAGCAUCCACGUUCGAGAGGUGGGAGGAUAACGAGCGCAAAUGAGGGGAAGGUCUGGAGUCAGGAGGACCUAUAAAAAGGUAGCCAACGAAGGUAAAAGGGUUAGACUUUUCGCUAUUAGAACUAAGAAAAGAGAGCUCUAAGAACUGAGAUUAAAAAGAAGCCAUAAGAUUCGUGGCAUAGAUUCCCAAAACCUUCAUUUCUGACUUGAACGUCGGAGGGUUUGCGCCGGGGAACCAACCGGCGUACUCUGACCUGUCUGUGUACGCAGGAACUUCUGGAGAAGAAGCUUUACGAGGAGAGAUCCUGAUCGUGGUGACGUUGAUCGAGCAGAGCUCCUGGUCGUAUAACGAGGAGGACUAGAAUCUCGCAUCAACAUUUUGGCGCCGUCUGUGGGGAGCUGAGCAAAAAGCUUCUGUUGAUAGCAAGAAGAAAAGGGAAGCAACUGAAAAGCAAUGGAGACAGGAGGAAGUAGUGCACAAGGGGGUGAUAUGAGGCUUAACGAUUCCGUGACGCUGAGGGAGAUAGCCAGUGAAGCACGGGAAAAAGCCAUGUUCGACCAGAUGGAACGGAUGGAAAAGCAGAUGGAGACCUUGACAACCAUCCUGCAUGAGCUGCGGAGCGAACGAAGGGUAACCUAGGAGGAAAGGGUGAGAGGUGGUGGAGUGGCACCAGGUCCCGAUAGUGCGAGGAGAAGUCAAACCAUCGGGAGAUUUGGUGGCGAGAGAGGUAACAUACCUCUGCGGGGAGAAUUGCAUAGAGAGGAAGAGCAGUCCCCGACAAGACAGAUUUUUGACGAGGACAACGGGGUGGCGAAUGCAGAGGAAACACAGUUGAGGCAACACUUGCAUGAUGUAGUGCAAGAGCGGGAUCAAGUUGCAGCACGUGACCCUGGUCGUGCAGAGCAGCUGGAGGAGGAAGUGCGCAGACUAGCGCAGAUAAUUGACGACAUGCAAGGAAGGAGCAGAGCUCCUGGUUGGAGAAUAAUGCUGGACGGAGAAUCACCGCUCGCAGCAGAGAUCAUAGGGCAAUUAUUCCGAGAGAUUUUUGCCUCCCAGACUUUAGAUACUCGGGAAGAACUGAUCCGCUGGUGCACAUAGAGUGCUUCAACGACAUAACUGGGGUACAAGGAUUAUCUCAAUCCCAAAGGUGCAGGGUGUUCCCACUAUCCCUUGAGGGACGUGCACGAGAGUGGUACAAGAAACUUCCUCGGGGCAGCAUUAAAACCUUCGAGCAGAUGUGCCAGGAAUUUGUAGAGCAGUUUAGUGGGGCAACGGCACCAGAAGAUGACAUGAUGGAGCUGAAAAGCAUGAAACAGGGGGAGCAAGAAACCCUUCGGGAAUUCAUCAAGAGGUUUCAUCGUGCUGUCCUCGACUUGGGUGCCUUCAACCACCCUCAGGCGUUAAGGGGAUUGAAAGAAGGGGUGAAGAUAGGAAGGUUGUGGUACAACUUGAGAAGCCCAGUUAUUCAGACGUAUGCGGUCGCAUACGAGCAGGCUAAGAGAGACAUUGAGAUUGAAGAGGAGAAGGCAGCACGGAUUAAGACAGACCAGUUAGAAGGGUUGGGGAGGAAAGAGAAGAAAGCAUUACCAGGGAAUGGGCCGAUCAGGAGGAGGGACCACCAAGCCUCGGGUAGUGGAGCAGGAGGUCGGGUAACUGCUUACCAGCCUCAUCAGAGGCCACCACAGUAUCAGCGCAGUAGGGCGCAACUUCCUCGUUCCCCAGCUAGGGAGCCUUGGAGAAGGCAUGAUUCGGCAUAUGGUGGUCUCCAUCAACAUUCCCACGGUAGCAGAGGGAGCAGACCAGAAGUACUACCACAGCCCCCAACUCAGAACGGAGCAAACAGAGAAAGAGCAGUGCACCUGAUCGACCAGAACCAGGACUAUGAGCAGUAUACUUCCUUGAAGAUGUCCCUGGACGAGGUGUACGAGGCCAUAAAGGAUCGGGGGUUGCUAUACCUCCCUGCUCAAAUAACAAAGCUACCCAGCAGGAGGGAUAGGGGACGCUAUUGUAAGUUCCAUGGCACUCAUGGCCACACCACAGCAGAUUGCAGAGAUCUUAAGACCCAGGUCGAAGAUUUGGUGAGAAAUCGGUAUCUGGACGAGUUUGUAGAUGGGACCUUCCCAAUGGUAGCCUCAACAAGUGAAGGGGAGUAGAGUGACAGGAACUUGAGGCGCGAGCAGCCUGCAGUAAGGGUUAUAGCUGGGGGCCCAACAUUGGCGGGAGAUUCCAACAGGUCGAGGAAGAAUUAUGCUAGAUACGCCAUGACCAGCAAAGAGGUAUUCUUCAACACCCCAGCAGCCAAACGUGCAAGAGUCAGGCAAGUGCCAAUCAUGUGGACAGAUGAGGAUGAGGAAGGGAUUCUAUACCCUCACGAGGAUGCUUUGGUCAUCAAGGCCACCGUUGCUAGCAAGAAGUUUGACAGGAUACUGGUUGACACAAGGAGCUCAGUUGACGUAUUGUUUAAGUCAACCCUGGAGGAGAUGGGGAUAGCAGACCUGAAGUUGGAUUACACCAAUACCUUCUUGAAGGGGUUUGGAGGACGAAGGCUGGUCCCUCUGGGCGUGGUCGAGCUGCCUAUCACGAUCGCGAGUUCCCCGACAGAAAGGACAAUGAUACUAGACUUUGUAGUAGUAGAUGAGGAAGGUCCUUACCAGAUGAUCCUAGGCCGGCCAUUUCUGAGGAUGAGCAAAGCGGUGCUGUCCAACCAUUAUCUGGCCCUCAAGUACCGGGUGAAUGAAGUAGUUGGAGUGGUACGAGGAGACCAGAGAAUCGCAAGAAGCUGCUACUCUUCGGCAGCAAGGGAAGCAAUGCAGAUAACAUCCAUUGACACCCGAGUGGAAAACGAGAAUGGCAGACAAGAACCUGUAGAGGAGCUGGAGACAGUAAGCCUGGGAUCAGAGAAUCCGGGAAAGACGAUCAGAAUCGGGUCGAGACUUAAAGAAAAGCAGAAGCAGGAGUUGGUGAAAUGCUUACAGGCUCAUGCAGAUGUGUUUGAAUCUUGAUCUGCUAACGGAAAAAAGGGAGCAAGCAGCUGGUCAAUCAGCCAUUUACCAGCAAAGGGUCACUCGUUAUUAUAACCAGAAGGUUAAUGUACGACAAUUCAGGGUCGGAGACUGGGUACUGAGAAGAGUGAAUCAGAGUACCAAAGAUUCGACUCAAGGAGUGCUGGGACCGAAUUGGGAAGGGCCAUAUAGAGUCAAGCAGAUAGUGGGACACGGAGCUUACAAGCUGGUUCGCACGGACGGCCGCGAGGUGAAACGCCCUUGGAACGCAGCACACCUCCGCAAAUACUUCCAGUAAGAUCUGUUCACAUUUUAAAGCUAUUUCCGCUCGUGCUCGUUAUCUUUUAUUUUUUAUAUUUUAUGUCAAAGCAAGUUCAUGUAAAACCAACUCCUGCAAUUAAUGGAACGUCGAGGAAUUUCAUUCAGUUGAAACUGUGAUAAAUUUUCUAAGGCAUGCGAAGGCUCACCAAGUCUCAAAGCCUGUUUAUGGCGAGACCAGAAGCCAAGCGUGCCGGGAUCUGCUCGACCACGCGAAGGCGAGCAGAAUCCCAAUCAUUGAAGAAAAUAACUAAGGCAUGCAAAGGCUCACCAAGUCUCAAAGCCUGUUUAUGGCGAGACCAGAAGCCAAGCGUGCCAGGAUCUGCUCGACCACUCGAAGGCGAGCAGAAUCCCAAUCAUUGAAGAAAAUAAUUAAGGCAUGCAAAGGCUCACCAAGUCUCAAUGCCUGUUUAUGGCGAGACCAAAAGCCAAGCGUGCCAGGAUCUGCUCGACCACGCAAAGGCGAGCAAAAUCCCAAUCAUUGAAGAAAAUAACUAAGGCAUGCAAAGGCUCACCAAGACUCAAAGCCUGUUUAUGGCGAGACCAGAAGCCAAGCGUGCCAGGAUCUGCUCGACCACGCGAAGGCGAGCAGAAUCCCAAUCAUUGAAGAAAAUAACUAAGGCAUGCAAAGGCUCACCAAGACUCAAAGCCUGUUUAUGGCGAGACCAGAAACCAAGCGUACCAGGAUCUGCUCGACCACGUGACGGCGAGCAGAAUCCCAAUCAUUGAAGAAAAUAACAAAGGCAUGCAAAGGCUCACCAAGUCUCAAAGCCUGUUUAUGGCGAGACCAGAAGCCAAGCGUGCCAGGAUCUGCUCGACCACGCGACGGCGAGCAGAAUCCCAAUCAUUGAAGAAAAUAACUAAGGCAUGCAAAGGCUCACCAAGUCUCAAAGCCUGUUUAUGGCAAGACCAGAAGCCAAGCGUGCCAGGAUCUGCUCGACCACACGAAGGCGAGCAGAAUCCCAAUCAUUGAAGAAAAUAACUAAGGCAUGCAAAGGCUCACCAAGACUCAAAGCCUGUUUAUGGCGAGACCAGAAGCCAAGCGUGCCAGGAUCUGCUUGACCACGCGAAGGCGAGCAGAAUCCCAAUCAUUGAAGAAAAUAACUAAGACAUGCAAAGGCUCACCAAGUCUCAAAGCUUGUUUAUGGCGAGGCCAGAAGCCAAGCGUGCCAGGAUCCGCUCGACCACGCGAAGACGAGCAGAAUCCCAGUCACUGAAGAAAGUAUCUAAGGCACGCAAAGGCUCAUAAAGUCUCAAAGCCUGUUUAUGGCGAGACCAGAAGCAAAGCGUGCCAGGUUCUGCUCGACCGCGCGAAGGCGAGCAGAAACCCAAGCAUUGAAAAAUUUUCUAAGUAAUGUAGAAAGACCAUAUUCUUAACCAGAGCCUGCUCGGCCAAGCGAAGGCGAGCAGACCCUCAACAGAAAAUUUACUUGUAAAUACAAAACACAAGAAAGUAAUCAAAAACAAUUUUCAUUAAUUUAUCAAUAACCAACAAAGUUGUUCAUUACAACGCAUGAAAUAUGUUCAAGAAGAUGGCGGAUCAGUAAGCCGAGUAGCGUCGGUCGGCUGGACCUCCUCGGGUACAGGGGGGUAUCACCAGUUGCGUCCGGGGGGGUGCUCGCCUCGCCGACGUCAGCAGGGAUUGCACGAGGAGGAGAGUUUUCCUCCUCAAUCACGAUCGGCUCCACCCCUUCGGCAUCUUCCUUGGCCGCCUCCUCGUCCAUAUGUUGAGCAACACCAGCUGCAAGGUCAUCCAUCUUCAGAUCAGGAUGCUGCUUCCCGAGGACGGCCAUGAUGCAACGAUAAGAAUGCCGGAGUCCCUGGUCGUACUGGUUGUCGGCCUCCUUCUCUAAGUUUUCGACCUGAACCCGGUGGGAAUCGCGGAGAGAUUCGAGCUGAGCCUCGUACAAAGCUUUCUGACUCUGCAGAUCCUCCUUGACCUUGGCCAGCUCUUCCUCGAGAGUGAUAGCCUUUGCUUGGGCAAGAGACUCUCGCUCAAUCAACUUCAGAUUCUCGGGGUUCAAGUCCCCUGCUUUCUUUUCGGCAACACCAGCUCUGGUCGUCGCCGACUGAAUGUCCUCCUUCAUCUUCCUAUCAUAGCGGCCAACUUUGGCCUUAUAGUAGGUGGUCAUGCAGCUGAGAUGGAAGGCGCUAUACUGCAUGGCCCCCACCAGCUCGCCUAGACUACAUCCAUCAAAGUCCUCCAGAUCCUUCUUGCUCACGAGUUUGGAAAGCUCGUUGAGAUAGGGAGCCAAGUGUUCUGCUCGGCUAUCAGGCAAACGAGAUCUAGGCCCGACAGGUGGAGAAGAGGAAGCAGGAUCAGUGGCUGCUCCACUGGUCUCGCCGAGUUUGGCAGGAGGAGGAGGUAAAGUCUUCAAGGGAGAGACCUGCUGCACGAUGUUGGCCCGCUUUGCAGUAGGGGCGUCCUUGUUCUGGUCCCUCUUCGUGGUUUGAGGUCGAGAACGUUUCCUGUUCAGAGCCCCAAUCACAGCGUCCUCCAUCUUAUGGCCAGGGAGUACCAAGCGAGACUCGAGCAAGUUGUAAGUAGUUAGCAGUUCUCGGCUCGGGCAGGUAUUGGGUAGUACGGCCUCAACCUGUUUGAGCUGGUCAGGUUGGAGUGGGAAAUGAACACCCCAAGAAACUACAACACAAACAGACACUUGGUUAGAGGUAAGCCAAUAAAGCAGGAACAAUUAUGCAUACAAGACAUCUAAGCGAGCAUGCAACCUGGGACCGUGAAACGGGGUGGGAUGCGACAAUCCUUCCCGUCUAUUUGUGCAACUUGACCCCAAGGACCCCCAGCAAAAAAGAAUUUUCUCUUCCAAGUCCCACCACCACCAGUUGGAAGAUCAGUUAUGGGUUUCCUGCUCUUGGUACUAGAUUGGAAGUAGUACCAGCCGGCAUCUUUGGGGCUGUUCUUUAGCUGGUACAGGUGUUUCACCUCGUCGACCGUGGGCUCGCUUUGACAACAUCUGUCCCACAAGAUGAAUAGACUAGAGAGCACUCUCCACCCGUUGGGGUUCAGCUGACCAGGAGCUAGAUUCAACCCGCUAAGAAUCCGGGCAAAGUAGGGUUGCAAGGGACACCUCAGCCCAUGCUUAAAACUCUCCAAAAACAAGGUAACAUAUCCCCUAGGAGGCCGGCUAGAGGUAUCCUUCUUUCCUGGGAUCUUAAGAAGUAUCUCACCAGGAAUGCUAUACCUAAGCCGGAGGUUAGCGAGCUCGUCAAACGUGGUCGUGCACGUCAUAUAAUCAAUAGCGUAAUCCCGCGAUAGGGCUCUACCUCCUGCUGUACUCUACCCUUCUGGUCGUGACGCUCCUGAUGGUGAUGCCUCACCAGAAUCAUCUCCACGAUCCUCACUCAGGGUGUUCUCCGAUCCAGAAGACCCUUCCUCAUCGCUAUUUCCGCUCGAGGAGGUUGUUUGGGGGGACAUCCUCCUAGUGCUAGUGCCAACACUAGAUCUAAUGGGCUCUAAGGGGAUCCCGGGGUCAAAAGCAGGAUCGGUGAGCAGACUAGGCAAGAAGUCCAACUCAUCGUCAUCAACCUCAAUGACCUUCUCUUUACCUCUCGACAUUCCCUAAGCUCUAACCACAACACCACCACCAACUACUACCCAAACAAAAGAGAAGAGAAAUUAUCUACAACUAUCCGAGACCAGGGAGAUAGAAGAAGUACCUGAAGUAAUGGUUCAGUCGGAGAAAGACAGAGAUGGAGGCCCCUAUGCCGGAACUUCUUUCCGGAGAGACAGAGACGAAGACGGAGUGAAUGACGAAUUUGUCGUUCGAAAGGAUUUGGGUUUCCUAAUGGAGACGGACUCUUGGGUUGCCAGCAUUUAACGACACCAAAUCUCAAGGGCCUCGUAACCGUUGGUUUGAAAUUCGAAUAGAGGGGCAGAUGUCUGCCACAUCACCUCGUCCGCAAUUAAAUGCGACAUGACUCUUGGCAGCCUUUUCCCAUCCCACGCGAGCAAGUACUGUUGAGUUUCUACUGCUGGUCCACUACAUUACCCAAACACUAGAAACUGGGGGACCGAUGUUUGGGAGAAGUACGUCGACGAGACCAGGCAUGAUGAGCAGUUAUCUGAUGGCAGAGUUCUGCGAACAGGUGUGUCCUGUAAGAGACUGGUGACCGGGGAGCAGGAGCAGAAAUAUUCUGCUCGUCCGCGAGCAUGCCGUCCACGAGGCUGGGCUCCUGCUGUAGCAUGGAGCAUUCCUGCUAAAGGUUUUAAUCGAGGAGACCCGGUCAACGAGAAUUGGUGCGAUGGGCUCUGCAAUCCGAAAAUCAAGGUACUAAGGCCACGCAUUGUUAGAGUGCAAUUUAUGCACUAGUUUUGCAUUAUUUACUUCCCUUAAUAUCGAUGUUUUGCAUUUAAUAAUAAUGUUUUACUUGUGUUUUACUUUUGUAGAUGCAAUUAUAUUGAUUGAUGAUAAAAUUGAGCUAAAAGAUGAUGUUUAAGAAGGAUUGUUCUCUUGGAGAAAUUUCUGAGCGUCAGAAGAACUUUGUUGAUAAGGCGUGGGUGCGUGCUGUUAACUGCGGACCUGCAGUUUUUAGUUUAACGUGUUUUAUAUUUUUGGUUAUUUUUGUAAUUACGAAUUUAAUAUUUCAGAUAUUAGUAUUUUAUUUUAAAUAGAAUUCUAAAAGAGAAGAGAGAGAGAGUAUUUAAGGGAGGAAUCUAUUGUGAAAAAGGGGGGAUUUUUGGAUUGGAGAAAAAGAAACCCUAGAUCUAAUUUUUCUCUUCUCUCUAUGAGGAACUAAACCCAUUUUUCUGGUUGAAGGAUAAUGAAGCUUUGAUUCAUCACUACUGUGAGAUCUUUCUUGUGCUUUAAUUGUUUUAUUGCUUUUUGGGUAUUUGUUUAUUCUCUGAAUUAGUUUCAUGAUUAUGUUUGUUAAUUAGGUAAUUGGCCACUAUUUAAUUAUCAACUUAAUCUAUUGUCAAUUAAAGGAUUCAUCGUAUGAAGAAUUUAAUGUUUGUGACAAAUAACAUAGCAGAGAGUUGUGUUGUGAGAAUAAACAAUCUAAUUUAAAUGAAUCAUCUUAUGUGUUGAUUAGGAUUUGGGUCUCUCUGGUUUCUCAGGCUGUCUAUUGAUUAAAUCCUAUGAUCGUAUCUAGGGUUGUCUAUUGAUUAGGGAAGUAACCAACGGUCGUACCUUGGUUAUCGACUAGUUAAGGAGAGAUUGGCUAUUAGAGGGUCUCAGUAGCUAUAACCGAUCUAUUCAUAAGUAAUAAUAAUAAUCUAUAUUUGAAUUAAUGAUCAGUAGUCGAAUCAAGCUGAGUUAAUUCCUUCAACCAGAGCUUUCUCCAAUUUGAAUUACAACUUUAAUUUGCAUUCUUGUUUAUUUCAAUUUGAUUUUUAUUAUUGUCAACAAUUCCCCCAUUUUACGUUUUACGUUUCAAAAGGAUUUAAAUAAUUACCGAUCUCUGUGGACACGACCCUGCUCAAUCACUAUACACAAUUUAUUUAGAGUAGGAAUUUAUUUUUGUUGGCUUCGACACCCAUCAAAUUUUGGCGCCGUUGCCGGGGAUUGGUGUCAUUUAUUUAAUCCUUUUUACGUUUUACUUAGUGUAUGGUUCGUUCUUCUCGUACAUGUACACUUUCAUUUGAUCCUGAAAUUGAGAAGACAGCUCGCCAGCUGAGACAGCAGACAAAGCGAGCUAAGCAACGAUCCUCGUCGCCUUUGCUUUCUGAAACAGAUACGGUGCCUGAUUUAGUUGAAUCAUCUAGAGAUUCAGAAGAACAAGUGAUGGAUAGACCUGCACCUGUAGAAAGAACUCUUAGAGAGUUAGCUGAACCAGACUUGAAUCAACAACCACUCUGCAUUCAAUAUGUAGACUUGGAGGUAAAUUUUGAAUUAAAGUCUGGUCUUAUUCAUUUAUUACCCAAGUUUCAUGAUUUUGCAGGUGAAGAUCCCCAUAAACAUCUUAAGGAGUUUCAUGUUGUGUGUUCAAGUAUGAGACCACAAGGCGUGACUGAAGAGCAGAUUAAGCUGCGUGUUUUUCCGUUCUCUGUAGAUGGGCUAACUAAAGAUUGGUUGUACUACUUGCCUCCUGGAUCGAUUACAACGUGGAAUGGUUUGAAGAAGCAGUUCCUUGAGAAGUACUUUCCUGCUUCAAGAGCUGCCAACAUCAGAAAAGAUAUUUGUGGGAUCAGACAACUUCCUGGGGAGACUUUGUAUGAGUAUUGGGAGCGAUUCAAACAAUUGUGUGCCAGUUGUCCUCAGCAUCAGAUUUCUGAUCAACUUCUUAUUCAAUAUUUUUACGAAGGAUUGUCAUUUAUGGAUAGGAGUAUGAUAGAUGCUGCUAGUGGAGGCGUGUUGGUGAACAAGACCCCUACUCAAGCAAGGGAGUUGAUAUCAAAUAUGGCUGCCAAUGUACAACAAUUUGGCAGCAGGCAAGAUCUCACUUCAAGGAAGGUGAAUGAGGUAAAUAUUUCUUCUGUUGAACAACGUUUAGAUAAACUCACUUCUCUUGUGGAAAAGUUUGUUGUAGGUAAUGUACAACAGGUGAAGACUUGUGGUAUUUGUUACAAUAUGGGUCAUUCAACUGAUAUGUGUCCUACACUUCAAGAAGAACCCGUUGAACAAGCCAAUGCAGUUGGAGGAUUUCCAGGCAUGCCUCAGAGGAGGUAUGAUCCUUAUGCACAAACAUACAAUCCGGGAUGGAAGGAUCAUCCCAACUUCAGCUAUGGAGUUAGGCCGUCAAGAUUCCCACAACAGUAUCCACCAAGACAACCAACACCUCCACAGUCAAACUCCAAGUCAGGUAUAUCUCUUGAAGAAAUUGUUAAAUCACUUGCGACUAACACUCAACAAUUUCAGCAGGCAACUACAGCAAGCAUUCAGAACUUGGAAAACCAAGUGAGUCAAUUGGCAACUACGAUGAGCCGUCUAGAGUCUCAAGUAUCUGGGAAAUUGCCUUCACAAACUGAGGUGAAUCCAAAGCAAAACGCCAGUGCCGUCAUCCUUAGAAGUGGGAAGGAGUUGCAAGAGCCUAGUAAGAAAGUGACAGAGCAUGUAGAAGAUGAGCUUGAAAAGAAUGAAUUGAUGCCUAAAUCUCAGGAUGCGCAACCCACCAGAGCGAAACCCCUACCUAUUGUGAUACCUCCUCCUUUUCCAAGCAGGUUUGCAAAAUCCAAGAAGGAGGAACAAGAGAAAGACAUCCUUGAGACAUUUCGCAAGGUUGAGGUAAAUAUUCCCUUAUUAGAUGCUAUAAAACAAAUACCUCGAUAUGCUAAAUUUCUUAAGGAACUGUGCACCUCCAAGAGAAAAUUAAGAGGAGAUGAAAGAGUUCAUAUGGGGGAGAAUGUUUCAGCAGUUCUCCAAAAGAAAUUACCUCCCAAGUGCAAGGAUCCAGGUAUGUUUACUAUCCCUUGCAAAAUUGGUAGUGUUAGAGUUGAGAAGGCUAUGUUAGAUCUAGGAGCUUCUAUUAAUGUCAUGCCUCGUUCUAUUUAUUCGUCUUUGAAUAUUGGUGCAUUAAAAGAAACUGACGUGAUAAUUCAACUAGCUGAUAGGUCUAAUGCAUAUCCUGAUGGGGUAUUAGAAGAUGUCUUAGUACAAGUUAAUGAGUUGGUUUUUCCUUCUGAUUUUUAUGUACUUGAUAUGGAAGAUGAUAACUCCUCUAAUUCUAUCCCAAUUUUGCUAGGAAGACCUUUUCUUAAGACUGCUAGAACUAAAAUGGAUGUACAUAAAGGGACUCUUACUAUGGAGUUUGAUGGAGAGGUUAUAGAGUUCAAUAUGUAUGAUGCCAUGAAAUAUCUCAGUGAGGAACAUUCGGUAUUUUCUAUGGAUGUUAUUAACCCUAUAGUGCAGGAAGUUUUUUAUUUGGAUGUUGAAGAUUCAUUAGUAGCUGCUUUAAAUAACAGUUUGGGCCUCAAAGGAUUGCAAAAGGAUGAAAAUGAGUUUGUUUUAAAUUCUGUAUUGCAAGAGACAAUUUAUGAAUUAAAUUCUUUGAGAACUUUAACUCAUUAUAUGUCUAAUAAUGAAUUACCUUCAUCUAAUGCAAAACUUCUUCCAUCUAUUUUGCAGGCACCAAAAAUAGAGCUUAAACCAUUGCCUAGUCAUCUAAAGUACAUGUUUUUAAGAGAUGAUGAGACACUUCCGGUGAUCAUCUCUUCAAAGCUUAGUACUUUAGAGGAAGAGAAACUUAUUAGAGUGCUACGAGAUUACAAAAAGGCUAUUGGGUGGACAAUUGCAGAUAUUAAAGGGAUAAGUCCGUCCACGUGCAUGCAUAGAAUACUGCUGGAGGAAGAUGCCAAACCUUCAAUUCAAGCUCAACGCUGUUUGAAUCCACUCAUGAUGGAAGUAGUGAAGAAAGAAAUUCUAAAACUUCUUGAUGCAGGUAUAAUCUAUCCAAUUUCGAAUAGCAAAUGGGUAAGUCCGGUACAAGUGGUACCAAAGAAAACUGGUAUAACAAUUGUUGAGAAUUCUUAUGGUGAGUUAGUUCCUACCCGAGUUCAGAAUGGGUGGAGGGUUUGUAUUGAUUUUAGAAAGCUUAAUUCACUCACUAGGAAGGAUCAUUUUCCUAUUCCUUUUAUUGAUCAGAUGCUUGAAAGGUUGGCAGGAAAAUCUCACUUUUGUUGUCUUGAUGGCUAUUCAGGUUUUCAUCAGAUACCAGUUGCGCCUGAGGAUCAGGAGAAGACUACCUUCACAUGUCCUUUUGGAACCUUUGCAUACCGACGUAUGCCAUUUGGUCUUUGUAACGCUCCCGCCACUUUUCAGAGGUGCAUGGUUAGUAUUUUUUCAGACUAUGUAGAAAACACUAUAGAGGUAUUUAUGGACGAUUUUACAGUCUAUGCUGAUUCUUUCGAUGAUUGUCUCUAUAAUCUGAAGAAAGUGCUUGAAAGAUGCAUUGAAACAAACCUUGUCUUGAAUUAUGAAAAAUGUCAUUUUAUGGUAGAUCAAGGCAUUAUUUUGGGUCAUGUAGUCUCUGCUAGAGGAAUUGAGGUAGAUAAAGCUAAAAUAGAUGUUAUUAAAUCUUUACCUUAUCUCACAUGUGUGCGGAAAGUUCGUUCUUUCCUUGGUCAUGCAGGUUUCUAUAGACGAUUUAUCAAGGAUUUUUCGAAGAUAGCUCAGCCUUUAUGCAAGCUUCUUCAGAAAGAUGUGACGUUUGAUUUUAAUAAAGCAUGCAAGGUAGCAUUUGAUAAACUUAAGGAGUUGUUGACUUCAGCUCCAAUUAUACAGCCACCAGACUGGAGCCUCCCUUUUGAGAUAAUGUGCGACGCCAGUAAUUAUGCUGUUGGUGCUGUUCUCGGACAAAGGGUUGGAAGAGCUGCUCAUGUGAUAUAUUACGCAUCAAGAACACUUGAUAGUGCUCGGUGCAAUUACUCAACAACAGAAAAAGAACUUUUAGCUAUUGUUUUUGCUUUAGAAAAAUUCCGUUCAUAUUUAUUGGGUACUAAAGUGAUUGUUUUUUCUGACCAUGCAGCUCUCAGAUAUUUGCUCGCCAAGAAGGAAGCAAAACCGAGACUUAUUCGCUGGAUCCUAUUGCUUCAAGAAUUCAACUUGGAGAUCCGUGACAAGAAAGGAACAGAAAACUUAGUUGCAGACCACCUUAGUAGAUUGACCACGAGUGAAGAAGCAGCACCUUCGAAAGAUGAUUUUCCAGAUGAGCAUCUCUUUAUAACUCAAGGUAUGGUUCCUUGGUACGCUGACAUUGUCAAUUACUUAGUUACAAGAAUACUACCUAGUGAUCUGACGAGGGCUCAAAAGGAUAAAAUUAAGAGCGAUGCUAAAUACUAUGUUUGGGAUGACCCUUACUUGUGGAAACAUUGCUCUGACCAAGUCAUCAGAAGGUGCGUAUCUGAGUUUGAAAUUCCUUCUAUUCUUCAAUUUUGUCACUCAUAUGCAUGUGGUGGUCAUUUUGGUCCCAAAAGGACAGCAUCCAAGGUGUUAGAAUGUGGUUUAUUUUGGCCUACUUUAUUUCGUGAUUCAUAUAUGUUUUGUAAGUCGUGUGAGAGUUGUCAAAAGACUGGUAAUUUAAGUCAUAGAAAUCAAAUGCCACUUACCCCUAUUCUUGUAUAUGAAAUAUUCGAUGUGUGGGGCAUUGAUUUUAUGGGACCUUUUCCCUCAUCUUUUGGCAAUUCUUACAUUCUUUUAGCAGUGGAUUACGUUUCUAAGUGGGUAGAGGCUAAGGCCACCCGGACUGACAAUGCUAAAGUUGUUGUAGAUUUUGUCAAGUCUAAUAUUUUUGCUAGGUUUGGUGUACCGAGAGCGAUGAUAAGUGAUAGAGGCACUCAUUUCUGUAAUCGAGUGGUGGAAGCUCUGUUCAAAAGAUAUCAUGUUACCCACCGAGUGUCUACCGCCUAUCAUCCACAGACAAGUGGACAAGCUGAGAUAUCAAACAGAGAAAUCAAGUCUAUUCUUGAAAAGACAGUUAGUCCAAAUCGAAAGGAUUGGAGUUUGCGAUUAGAUGAUGCAUUAUGGGCGUAUCGCACCGCUUACAAAACUCCCAUAGGUAUGUCUCCUUAUCGUUUAGUAUUUGGUAAGCCUUGUCAUUUACCUGUAGAACUUGAGCACAGAGCAUACUGGGCAGUUAAGCAAUGCAAUAUGCGGAUGGAUGAAGCGGGAAAGCAGAGGAAGUUGCAGCUGCAAGAGUUGGAGGAGAUUAGAAAUGAAUCCUACGAGAGUUCGCGAUUUUACAAGGAAAAGACGAAGACAUUUCAUGACAGAAUGAUUUUGAGAAAGGAGUUCUCUGUUGGUCAAAAAGUUCUUCUCUUUCACUCUAAACUUAAACUUUUUCCUGGUAAAUUACGUUCUCGUUGGGUAGGACCUUUUAUUGUUACUAAUAUUUUUCCUCAUGGUGCAAUUGAGAUUCGGAGUCCAAUCUCGAAUAAAGCCUUUAAGGUUAAUGGUCAUCGUUUAAAACCUUUUUACGAAGGUUUUUCGGUGAAUAUUGUGGAGGAAUUGGCUCUCGAGAAUCCUAUUUAUGGAGAUUGAUACAUAAAUGUGUCUAGCCAAAGACAUAAAACAAAGGCGCUUUUUGGGAGGCAACCCAAAUGAUUUGUUUAUUUUGGUUUUUGUUUUAUCUUCUUUAAAAAAAAAAAAAAAAAAAACCAAAAAUCGAAAAUCACUGUUUACAAAUCCCUAAUUCAAAAAUUACUGUUGAUUAUCGUUUUACAGCAGCAUCAGCUCCAGCCUUCACCGCGCAACCAGCAGCAGCAGACGAGUACGCCCAGAACCAGCAGCAAGCUCCAACAUCCCCAGCCCGCGCGCGCAGCGCGAAUCAGCCCCAACCGCCGCGCACAGCAUCGCGUACCCCAACCAGCAGUAGCGCGAAUCAGCCUCAGCGCAGCAUAUCAGUCCCGCGCGCGUAGCGCAACAGAUCCGCAACGCAGACCCGCAACGCGAACUGGCUCUCGCGCGCAACAGCCCCGCGCGCGCAACACAACAACGAACCAGCACCCGCAAAGCAAGCCUCAGCAGCGCGCACAACCAGCCCCAACUCGCGCAACAAGCUCCAGCCGAGCAGCAAGCGCAACACAACCAGCCUACGCCCUGUAUUCCAGCCGGGUAAAUCGAAAUCCGUGAGUGCAAUUAUUGUAACAAUGCCGAAGAGGAAAGCAUCUACUUCCAAGUCGUCGAAAAAGACACCCGUCGCAAAGAAAUCUAAGAUUGCCGCUCCCACUACGGUUCCAUGGAACAUAAUUUCAGAUUCACGCCAAGCCGUGAGACAAAGAUCGAAGCAUGGAAAAGGCAUGAGUGUUUUGCCACUUGCGGAAUCCAAUCUCGGAGGGUGCCUCGCAUUCGCGACUCAACAAGAGAAAGAGAGGUACAAAGAUAUUUCCACGCGCAAAAUACUUCCAGCUAAGUAUAUUCAUUACCCGACUCUUGAAAAAUUAAAUGUUAAAGAUAAUUUUGAUUCUUUGAUAGAUAAGAUUGGGUUGCGUAAGUUUGUUGAUGUUGAUUGCUUGGGUUAUGUUGAGUUGAUUAGGGAGUUUUAUGCUACUUUUCAAUUCACUAUGCCGAAUGAUUUUACUUUGCAUACCCCGGAUGUCAUUAAGUUUAGGUUAAUGGGACGAAAUUUUUCACACUCUAUCACGGAUUUUAACCUAGCUUUAGGAUUCAUUGAUGAUGAUUAUUCUACUAGUGAUGAAUAUUUAGGAACAACUUGUGACUUUAGCGAAAAUUUUGAGCCUUAUGGUCUUUGGCGUAAUUUAUCUGUUGAUCACAAUGCCUAUGACCCGAGUAAAUCAAAGAGUUCUUUCUUACGUGAUCCUGUUUUGAAAUGUGUGCAUCGAUUCUUAGCAUAUAAUUUUUUAGGCAAGAAAGAUCACUCAGGAAUUUUCUCUAAAACUGAAUUUUAUUUUAUCUGGUGCAUGUUAAAUGAUGUGAGGCCUAAUUUAGGUUUUUGGUUAGCGGAUCAAUUUCAAAGUGUGCUUAAACGGUAUAGGACUUUAUUUCUUGGUCCAUACAUUACUCUGUUAGCUAUAAACCUAUGUGUGCUUGAUCCUGACAAUAAUGAUUUGCAUCCUGCUUGCAAAAAGGAAUUUUUGGAUAUGUCUGUGUUUGAAAGAACAGGUGUGGUCGAAUUCAAGGAGGGGAGAUUUCAGUUUACUGAACCAGGACCCACUCAACUUCCGAAGAAGCUUUAUGCUAGGAGUGGUGCUACCUCUGAUGACGAGUUUGACGACGACACUGUUGCCCCGCCAACUAUUCCUUCUACAUCCGCACCACCUUUGAGCAUUCAGUUAGAGAAAAUGGAGCACAAGUUGAACAAAAUGGAGCAGAAUUUGGCCGCAUACUUCGAGAGUGUGGGAUUUACCCCACCAUUUCCGCCAAGCCCAUAGACGUUAUGUGGAUCAAAGCUCACAAUUCAGGGAAGUUUCUUUUUGCCCUUAAACUUUUAUCCUUAUGCUUUAAUUUUUAUGUGAGCUUUGAUUAUCUUACAUUGGGGACAAUGUAAGUUCUUGGUGUGGGGGAGGGAUUUUUGCAUUAUUGAUGUCUGGAAUUAUUGUUUUCACUCUACUUAUCUUUUUUUUUUUCUUCACUCUACUCAUCCUUAAAUGAUUUUGGAGUUAGUAUGCUUUAUAUAUUAUUAUUUUUUCUUUUCUUUUAUUUCUCACUACUUUUUUUUUCCCAUCUAUCUCAAAUUAUUUACAUCUAUUUUUAUUCUAUCAUACUCUUUCAUCACUCACAUUUUAUCUUUCACUUUUCAUCUUUCUCACUUCUUAUCAUUUUUACCUUUCCUUUUAUAUAUCACUCAUACCUUCUUCUCAUUCUACACCACUAUUGAUGGUUGAUUCAUUUGAAGAGUGUACAUGAUUUGAUGGCAAAUUUACCAACUUUGUGAGGAUUUGAGCCUAUGAGCAACCACUUUGCUCUAAUUAUUUUUGUUAUGUGAAUAUCAAUCCUAGUUUGUUUAUUCUAGAACUUGCUUUGUUAUGCAUGUUGAAGCCACAUUACGGGAUUUUAGGCAUUAAAAUGAUAAGGGCAAACCAUUUACCAUUUUUCUAUUCUCGCAUUUUCAUUUUUCUUUACCCGAAGACCUUAAUUUGCUACCUUUGUUUGAGCCUUAACCAUUACCCAUCUAAUUCUCUCCGUCUACUUAACCAUUUUUCUUCUUUUUGAGCCUCAAUUUAAGGAGAUUUUUGGACUCAUUAUAUGGAUAUAUUUUGUUGCUUUUUCUACCUUGUAUUAAAGUUUCUCAAUUAGAUCAACAAGCAUUAUGCUUGAAUUCAAUUGUGCAAGGUUCGUUUCUUUUGUUUGAUUCGAAAAAAAAAAAAAACAAAAAAAAAAAUGAAAAAAAAAAAGAAAAAAAAAGAAAAAAAAAAGAAAAAAAAAAGAAAAAGAAAAAUCGAAAAAAAAAAUCGAAAAAAAAAAAUGUUUACAUUCUUGGUGACUUGAGUAGAAAUAAGCAUUUUGAUAUCAUAAGUUCAUUCAAUGAGUUCAUUCUUCUCAUUUUGAUCUCUUUUUCUUUCGUAAACCUUUCUUUUUCAUUUAACCCAUUUAACCCCAUUACAACCCUUUUAAGACCCUUAGAUUUUUGCAUUUUAUUCAUGUUUUGUGGAUUGAGAUGUGAUUUAUGAGCAAGCUUAUGAUAAUAGCAUUCUUUGAUUUGAUUUGAGUGGAUAAAUGACACCCUAAACACUUUGAGUGCAUGGAGUGAAGUUAUUGAGAGGGCUAUUACAUCUUGUUGCACUUGAAUUUUGAAUGGAUAUUCUUGGUGGUUGAAUGUUCUUAUUCUAUCUUAUGAGAUUCUAUGCUUUAAAAUCCUUGUCUCUUGAAUGUUGAUCGACUUAAUUUCUUGAGGUAUGCUUGCUUAAAAUUAUUUUUGGAUGAGUUGAGAUGAGAAUUGAGUGGAGAUUUAGGAUUAAUCUUGAGUUAUAUGCUUGAGGACAAGCAUCAUCUUGGUGUGGGGGAAUUUGUUAGAGUGCAAUUUAUGCACUAGUUUUGCAUUAUUUACUUCCCUUAAUAUCGAUGUUUUGCAUUUAAUAAUAAUGUUUUACUUGUGUUUUACUUUUGUAGGUGCAAUUAUAUUGAUUGAUGAUAAAAUUGAGCUAAAAGAUGAUGUUUAAGAAGGAUUGUUCUCUUGGAGAAAUUUCUGAGUGUCAGAAGAACUUUGUUGAUAAGGCGUGGGCGCGUGCUGUCAACUGCGGACCUGCAGUUUUUAGUUUAACGUGUUUUGUAUUUUUGGUUAUUUUUGUAAUUACGAAUUUAAUAUUUCAGAUAUUAGUAUUUUAUUUUAAAUAGAAUUCUAAAAGAGAAGAGAGAGAGAGUAUUUAAGGGAGGAAUCUAUUGUGAAAAAGGGGGGAUUUUUGGAUUGGAGAAAAAGAAACCCUAGAUCUAAUUUUUCUCUUCUCUCUAUGAGGAACUAAACCCAUUUUUCUGGUUGAAGGAUAAUGAAGCUUUGAUUCAUCACUACUGUGAGAUCUUUCUUGUGCUUUAAUUGUUUUAUUGCUUUUUGGGUAUUUGUUUAUUCUCUGAAUUAGUUUCAUGAUUAUGUUUGUUAAUUAGGUAAUUGGCCACUAUUUAAUUAUCAACUUAAUCUAUUGUCAAUUAAAGGAUUCAUCGUAUGAAGAAUUUAAUGUUUGUGACAAAUAACAUAGCAGAGAGCUGUGUUGUGAGAAUAAACAAUCUAAUUUAAAUGAAUCAUCUUAUGUGUUGAUUAGGAUUUGGGUCUCUCUGGUUUCUCAGGCUGUCUAUUGAUUAAAUCCUAUGAUCGUAUCUAGGGUUGUCUAUUGAUUAGGGAAGUAACCAACGGUCGUACCUUGGUUAUCGACUAGUUAAGGAGAGAUUGGCUAUUAGAGGGUCUCAGUAGCUAUAACCGAUCUAUUCAUAAGUAAUAAUAAUAAUCUAUAUUUGAAUCAAUGAUCAGUAGUCGAAUCAAGCUGAGUUAAUUCCUUCAACCAGAGCUUUCUCCAAUUUGAAUUACAACUUUAAUUUGCAUUCUUGUUUAUUUCAAUUUGAUUUUUAUUAUUGUCAACAAUUCCCCCAUUUUACGUUUUACGUUUCAAAAGGAUUUAAAUAAUUACCGAUCUCUGUGGACACGACCCUGCUCAAUCACUAUACACAAUUUAUUUAGAGUAGGAAUUUAUUUUUGUUGGCUUCGACACCCAUCACGCAUCCACCCACGAUUACAGAAAUGGAGCAUCCACGUCCGAGAGGUGGGAGGAUAACGAGCGCAAAUGAGGGGAAGGUCUGGAGUCAGGAGGACCUAUAAAAAGGUAGCCAACGAAGGUAAAAGGGUUAGACUUUUCACUGUUAGAACUAAGAAAAGAGAGCUCUAAGAACUGAGAUUAAAAAGAAGCCAUAAGAUUCGUGGCAUAGAUUCCCAAAACCUUCAUUUCUGACUUGAGUGUCGGAGGGUUUGCGCCGGGGAACCAACCGGCGUACUCUGACCUGUCUGUGUACGCAGGAACUUCUGGAGAAGAAGCUUUACGAGGAGAGAUCCUGAUCGUGGUGACGUUGAUCGAGCAGAGCUCCUGGUCGUAUAACGAGGAGGACCAGAAUCUCGCAUCAACAUGUACAUUAGUGUUUUUUUUUUUUUUUGGGGGGGGGGUGGAAUUUUUUUAUUGGCACAGGAAGAAAGCUCUUCGGCACUACUCGGAAGAAGAAUAUGAGCAACACAUGGUCCAAUUCGCAUUGUAUGGAAGUAAAACCGAAGCAUUAGACCAAAAGCAAACCUUAUUCAUAUUUUUAGUUACUGAUAACAAUUUCUUUCCCCUCUUAUUAUCAUCUUAAUUAAGAAAUAUAGUAAUUCGUUAACUUUUUGGGAAAUUAAAAAGGAUGGCAAUAUACAAUAUUCUUGUGUUGAUGACCUUAAAAGCUAGUUCCCUUGAAACAGGAAAACUGGUAUCGUUUUUCAAAGCACAUAAAUGAUAUAUCCCAGCUUUCAAUGUGAUCGAAAGAUUUCAUAGCCACACUCAAAAUUAAUAAAUGAUCCCUAAGAAUUACGAAAAUGAUAUCAAUGAAAUUACAAACUCUUCAAGAGUUUAUAGAACAUUAAUUGAUCCAAAGCCAAUACAAACUGCUUACUAGUACAGCAUCAAGAGAGCCAUUUAUUUUUUCAGUAGGCAAAUUAAACAACUGCAGCAGUCACUAGCGAGCUAGUAUAGACCAAUUGUUCAUCUACCAACUAAUUGUGAAAUUGUUACAUCAUUGCUUGAACAUAUUUCUGAUCCAAUCGUGGCUUUAUUUUGUUCGUCUUCAUAAUCUUUGUUUGAGAAAUCGGAGUCCAUUCGAUGAGUCUAUCAGCAUUCUUUAACUAAUUAUUAGAUUAAAUGUAUAAAUUUAAAACUAGUAAAAGUUUAGAAUAUGAAAGAACCUUGAUUCAUUCAAGAAAUAAUUAAAAUUUUAAUCCUUUUCAAACUGAUUAAUAUUAACCUUAUCAUUAUAAGAAAACACGAUUUAAAAGAAAAAAAAAAUCUCACAAAGUUGGUGUGUGGAAUAGUCAAUACGUUGUGUCCUUGAUUUUUUACAAACUCUUAAGAGUCUAUAGAUGUAGUUAGUGAUAUUACAUUACAUUAAUUGAUCCAAAUCCAAUACAAACUGCUUACCAGUACAGCCUCAAGAGAGUCAUUUAUUAUUCAAUUGGCAAAUUAAACAACUACAGUAGUCACUAGCAGCUUGCCAAGAGCUAUAGCGUAGAUCAAUUGUUAUCUACCAACCAAUUGUGAAAUUGUUACAUCAUUACUUGAACAAAUUUCCAAUCCAAUCGUGGCUUUCCUUUGUUCAUCUUCGUAAGCUUGCUUUGAGAAAGUUUCAGGCUUCUUUGGAGUCAUUAUAUCAGCCGUGCUCUCAUUUUCGAGCAUCGAAGAAACUUCCAGCAUAGAAGGUCUAUCGUCUGGGUUCUCCUGAACACACAACAGAGCUAUUUGCAGACAUGUUAGCAAUUUCCACGAGGAAUGCGUAUCAUCUAGUGAUGUAUCCAUUAACCCCAUGCCUUUCCCAUCUUUCCACAGCUCAUAAGCCUGUAAAUAUCGAAUAUGUUAUUGAGUUACAUUCAAUUAAUUAGCACUAUAAAGUUUUGAUCCAGUGUGCAUUAUAAAGGGGGUUAUGAAGAAACUUACAUACUGUACAAGGCUUAAAUUUUCAUUCUGGCCAGAUUGAACGAACAAUCUUCUUCCACUUAUAAUUUGCAAAAGUAAAACCCCAAAACUGUAGACAUCAGAUUUGGUGGAGUAGAUGCCUCUCGUCACAUACUCAGGAGGGAUAUAGCCACUGUUGUACCAAGUACUUACAAAUAUCAGUUAAAUUGUUUGACCUAAAAGGUUAAGCUGAUUGGUAAAGGCUCAACAAUAGUAUUAAAGACAAGUCGAAAAAUAGACGUAUAUACACUUACUGUGUUCCAACAAUUCGACUGGUGUUUGCUUCAAGGUCGUCUUUCACAAAAAUUCUAGCUAAGCCAAAAUCUGAUAUUUUAGGCUUCAUAUCUUCAUCCAAUAAAACGUUACUAGCUUUCAAAUCUUGAUGAAUAAUUGUUAAUCUAGAAUAUUCUUGAAGAUAGAGAAGCCCUUGAGUUAUUCCUUAAAUGAUAUGAAUGCGUUUUUUCCAAUCCAAAAUAAACCUUCGGAUGGAAUCUACAUCAAAUAUAAGUAUAGUUGGACGGUCGGUAGCAUUAGCAUUUGGAGAUGAGAAAGCAAAUGGAGGCACAUAAAUUAAAAAUUAAGCAGUUAAGCUCAUACCAAAAAGGAAAUAGUCCGAGCUUCGUUUUGGCAUGUACUCAUAGAUCAGCAUUUGUUCUUCUCUGUCAAUGCAAAAACCUAAAACCCUAAUAAGAUUUACAUGUUGGAGUUUUGCAGUAAGCAUAACCUCAUUCUUGAACUCCUCAAAUCCUUGUUUGGAUGUCUUUGAGAGUUUCUUCACAGCUAUUACCUGUCCAUCAGGUAAUACACCCUGCAAACAACCCCAAAACAUUAAAAAGAAAAAAAAACGCAAUGUUCAUAUACAUGUGUGUGUGUGUAUUUCGCUAAUUAAUUAAUAAGAUGAGAGAUAGCCAAGCUAUCGAUAUAUAACCUUGUAAACAGGGCCAUAUCCACCCUCCCCGAGCUUAUUUUCAAUUGAAAAUCUAUCCGUGGCCACCUCAAUAUCAGCCAAGCUAUAUUCUCUAAGAUCAGGAUCAUUGCUGUUAAAAUCUCCAGCAUGUGCUUGACUGUUUGCUCCGUCCUUUGAUGACUUGGCUGAGUCAAUUACUAUCCCAAUUAAUAUCAACCAAGGAAAAAAAAAAAAAAAAGCUAAUUUAAGUAAAUUGCCCACUUCUUCAACUGCGCUAAAUAGAAUAGAAGUAAAAAUAAUCCUAAACCAGUGUAGAAGAAGUUACCUUUUAAUUUGGGGUUUUUCAUCCAGCAGUAGUAAUAUAGACAAAAACCUAGUAGAAGAAUACAAGCUGCAGUUGUAGGCAAAACAAUUACCCAUAAUGGUCGCUUAUUUUGACCAUUCUUGUCAUCCUCUUCAGCUGAAAAGUCAAAUCACUUUGCGUUGGUUAGCCAUUGAUGCUGAAAUAAAGAUCUUAAUUCAAGUCAUUAUCCAGAAAAGUGAUCAACGGAUUGCAGUGAGUGCGGAAUUCCAUUUGCUUACCUGCAGCUUGAGAAAGCAUCCAAUCAUGAUCAUAGGAAACUAGCCACACAUGGUAACCGCGUAGCUUCUUCUCCUUGGCAUAAGCAACCUUCACUCUAAUGGCCUCCACAUCAUCAAAACCAAACCAAAUCUUCCCAAUCGAGCAGUAGUUCACCACAUAAGUUGAAUUGUACAUAACUUGGACAUUAGGACCAUAGCUCUUGAUGCGAUUCUUGAUUUCCUUGUAAGUCACAAGACCAUUUUCACUCAAAGCUGCUCCCGUUGCUGCUGCACCAAUACCAUUGUCCUCAGGUUUCACAAGCUUCCAUGCAUAGCCAUAGAAAGGCAAACAUAAAACCAAUUUAUCAGCCGAUAACCCUUCCUCAAUCCAUUCCGUGAUUCCGUAUUCAGUACUAUAGUCACUAUUUGGAUCAUACAGAGCCGCAUGAGCACCAGUAAAAUUUGUCCACGUAGGGGCUGAGUAAUCAGUAGUGAAAACAUGGACCCAAUUCAAGUACUGUCUUAUAAAGUCGACUGGAUAAGUUGCUUCUGUUAAGAAUGGUGAAUAUGAAACCGUUGCCGUCAAAAUCAACUGUGAUUGGCUCGAGUUAUUUCUUGCUUCUAAAUCUACGGCAGCUCGCCACUCUUUAAAGAGAAUGGCAAUAUUGUAAUUAUCCCAGCUUGUGUUUGCCUUAGACCAAGACAGAUCUAAGCCUUGAAAGCCAUAAAGCCUUGCUAUGUUUAUUGAGGAGUCAAUGAAGGAUUUCCUGGAAGAAGGAUUGCUUGCCAUGGAAGAAUAAGUUGAAUAGCUUACAUCAUUUCCUCCUCCGAUGGAGAGAAGUGUAGUGAUUGAUGGGUUCUUUAUUUUGACUGUGUGCGUGAAGUUGGAGAAUUGUUUUUCAUCCGAAGGUGAUAAAGAGAGCUCGUAGGAAGUUGAGUUGACAUCAGCAAAACCACACAUAAGGUGAGUGAAGAGAGCAGAAUUUACAUCUGAAACAGGGAACCCAUCGCCUGAAUCCCAGUAACCAGCUCUGAUUAAAGUUUGUGCUCUUGCAGGAAGCGAUUCUGAAAAUAUAAAAAUGUGGAGGACAAGAAUGAUAAUUUUGGAUGCCAUUGUGGGAACCUGGCUGCUUGAGGCAUACCUAGUAUGUGAUUAUAUAUUUGUACACACACAAAAUGUAAUGGAGAAAUUAUCCUAUACCGAUUGAGAUUAGUUAUUGCACUAAUAAUGCAAACUUGAGUCAACUUUCAACUUAUGAGCUUAGUCCAUAAGUUUUUAUAAUACGAUAUCAAAAUCAAGUUAUGAAUGAGGGACCCUAUAAUACCUUCCAACCUAACUUAAUAAUUAAUCUUAGCCAAUGUGACAUACUUGUUCUAUCGCUUUAUCACGACCAAGUCGAUCUUUUAGCUUUGUCUUUUUUUCAUGAUAAUAAGUGAUAAGAUUGAAGUUCUUAAAUUAAGCUAUGACUUUUUACCUCCGCUUAGCUUGACUUCUGAAGUUGGAGACUCGUUCUUUUGUAUUGACUUUGUUGGUAUUUAAAUGAACUCGGAGUCCUCGACGAGUUUCUGAAGCGAAGUCAUUAUUCCUCUAUGACUCCAUCCAUGCAAUUGGAAGGCAAAAUCUUGUGAAAAUAUUUUCUAAGUUGAUUCAGUCCAUGAUCAACGUGCACAAAACGCAAAAUCUUGCGAAAAUCAAACCCGUCCUCACUCAUGAGCUCGAUUUCUAGCUUAAACUCCUCCUCACUCAUGACCUCACUUUAAUUACAGCUUGUCAUUGAAUUGAGUGUUGCCUUAAUUAAGCCAUCAACUUAAUAAAGUGAUGGUCAUUAAGAAAUACACUUAGUUACUUCCUGAUGGUAAGAUUCAAUAAUAUUGUAAUUUAAAAAAAAGAAGAAAAGAUCCAUAUACCUUUUCCUUGUGUAAUUUAAUUUUCAGUCCAGUCCACCCUCCCAUUUUAUCAUAAAAGUCUAUACAAACAUACGUUUUACUCAAUGUUUACUUAGAAACAAAUGGUGGGCGUACGAGUGCCGAUCUAGUACCACUCUCGUAUACUUGGUGGGAUUCGGCUUCACCAAAUUUGUAGCAUAUAUUUUACUUUAAUGAGAAAAUCAAAUAAUUAUUGAACAAAUAAUUUUUUUUUCAAUAUACUUUCUUAAAAUGUAUGGAGUUGGUAAAGUGCAAAUUCAUUUUUUAGCCCUUUGACUCCUCCAAAAUCCAAACUCAAAUUAAUGGUCAGUUAAAUAAUGUUACUUGAAAAUCAUUUCCUAUCUAGAAUUUGUUUAAUUCUAUUAAUUUACAAUCGUUUUUCAUUUUACUUAAUUAAUUAAAGUGAAUUUAUUAUGUAUACAUCUACAUACGUAAAAUCUUAAAAUUCAGUGUUGAAUUGAAUUGUACUAAAUUUUUUAUAAUUUUUUGUGAGACCUGCGUUUUUAACAGUUUAAUAUUAAUAUUGAUAGCACAUAAUAUACCGGAUUAAGAGAGAUUGAUUUCGACUGCUACAAGAUUUUUAGGAUUGCAUGCACAAGGGUUUAAAAACAAAGUAUACACUUAAUUACACUAAACGAGGGUGCAUUUUUAUGAUGAAAUAAAAACUAUGUACAGGUUGUAAAAGUGGCUCCAUAAUUAGUGUACAUUAACAAUCAUCUAGCUACCACUUCCGAAAAUGAUAAAUCACAAGCCGAACAUUUUUCCAAUUGUGUUGUAGAUAAUAGUUCAAUCCCAAUUUCAUCAACUUGUUUUGAGAAAGCAGGCUUCUUGGGAGUAUUUAUAUUUGUGGUUUCAUUCUUGAGCAUUGAGGAAACUUCCAGCAUUGAAGGUCUAUCGUUUGGAUUCUCCUGGACACACAACAAAGCUAUUUCCAGACAUCUCAUUAAUUUACAAGGGGAAUUUGUAUUGUCUAGGAAUGAAUCCACAAACUCCACGCCUUUGCCACCUUUCCACAACUGAUAUGCCUGAAAUUAUCAAGUACCAUCUCGUUACAUAAUUUAUACUUCUUAAUUAAGUGCGCAUAUGUGUACUCAGGGUUACUAUAGCCGAAGAAACUUACGUGCUCUAGAAUGCUUAAAUUUUCAUUGAUGCCACAUAACACUGAAAGCCUCUUUCCACUUAUGAUUUGUAGAAGUAAAACUCCGAAACUAAAAACGUCUGAUUUGGUAGAGUAUACACCUUGUCUGGCGUACUCAGGAGGAAUAUAGCCUCUGCAUUCAAAAUAACCAAGUAUAUAUGAGUAAGGGAUUUUGCAAUUUAAUAAAUUUGUAAAACCCAUUUUAAAUUGUGGUAAAAGUCCAUUCUGCAUUUUAUUAAAGUGCUGAAUUCCUUAUUCGAAACCCAAUAUAUGUAUAACAAACAGAAGCUUGAGUAAAGGAUAUCAUUUAGAUGUAAUAUACUUACAUUGUUCCCACAAUUUGUUCUGUAUUCGCUUCGAGACUCUCUUUUGCAAAAAUCCUAGCCAUACCAAAAUCUGAAAUUUUAGGUUUCAUACCUUCACCUAACAAAACAUUACUGGCUUUCAAGUCUCGAUGAAUAAUAGUCAGUCUUGAGUAUUCUUAGAGGUAUAAAAGCCCUUGAGUUAUCCCUUCAAUGAUAUGAACACGUUUUUUCCAAUCCAAAAGAAGUCUUUUGAUGGGAUCUACAACAAAUAUAUAGUUUUGGACAAUAAGUGAUAUACAAAUGAAUUAUAUACACAUUUGAUAUUAACUUGAUUUCAGAACAAACCAAAAAGGUAGCAAUCCAAGCUUUUGUUUGGCAUGUAUUCGUAGACCAGCAUCCGUUCCUCACUCUCAAUGCAAAAACCUAAAACUCUAAUAAGAUUUACAUGUUGGAGUUUUGCAGUAAGCAUAACCUCAUUCUUAAACUCCUCAAAUCCCUGUGCGGAUGAUUUCGAAAGUUUCUUCACUGCUAUCACCUCUCCACAGGGUGAUACACCCUGCAACCCAAAAAAAAAAACCACGUUCAUAUAAAGCUUUCACUAGUUAGAGAAGCUGAGAAAUGUUAGCCAAACAAUAUGCUACCCCCCAAAGUUGAGGGCACCAUUUUAAGUUCUUUAAGUCCCCAUGGACGCAAAAUGUAAAUCUCCUCUCACAGAAUAUGGAUAUGGGUAGAGGUAUCUUCCUAAAAUGUUAGUCGAAGUAGUUAUAUCCCUCUAGUGUGAGGUUAGAGGUCUCAUCUCUAAUAGGCAUAGAUUUUUAAAUUAUAUGUUUUGGGCCUCUGAAUUCUACGACGAGUGUACAAAUUCAAACUUCCGAUAGGAUCCAAAUUGAAACAUUGUGGAUUGUAACAAAUUAAAAUAUAGGUACACACACACACACACACACACAUGUUACCUUGUAAACAGGACCAUAUCCACCCUCCCCAAGCUUAUUUCUAAUUGAAAAUCCCUCGGUGGCCGCCUCAAUAUCAGCCAAACUAUAUACUCUGAGAUUAGGAACAUUUCUGUUAAAGUCUCCAGCUUCUGUUUCAUUAUUUGCUGUCGUGUUUGAUGCUUUAGCAGAAUCCUCUGUUCCUAACAUCAACCAAGAGUACAUAUUAGAUAAAUAAUUGUAUGUCAGCCUCAGAUUUAUGUGUAUAUAUAUGAAUGAAAUUCAUGCUUAAUUAUAAUUGAUAGCUGAAACUUGUUACCUUCUAUUAAAUUGAGCCUUUUCAUCUGGUUGUAUUUAUAUGCACAACAGCCUAGAAGGAGAGUCAAAGCUGCCGCUGCAGUAGAAAUGAGUGCAAUGGACAGAUGGCGGUUAUUACUAUGUUCAUCUUUGUCAGCUGAAGCAGAAGUAAUCCUUUCUUUUUGUGCUGGAAAUAUGUAUAGUUCACCAAUUAAUAAUUACUAGCUAGAGAUGCCAUAACAAUCAUUAUUAAUCAGAGAGAACAAUUAUUGCAUAGAUAAAUACCUGCAGCCUGAGAAAGCACCCAAUUAUGAUCAUCAUAAUCAACUCGCCACACAAAGUAACCACGUAACUUCUUCUCCUUAGCAUAUGCAACCUUCAUUCUAACGGCCUCGACAUCAUCAAAACCAAACCAAAUCUUCUCAAUCGAGCAGUAAUUGACCUCAUAAGUUGAAUUGUACAUAACUUGGACAUCAGGGCCAUAGGUCUUGAUGUGAUUCUUGAUUUCCUUAUAAGUCACAAGGCCGCUAUCAUGCAAAGCUGGUCCUGCUGCUGCUGCAACAAUACCAUUGUCUUCAGGUUUCACAAGCGUCCAUGCAUAGCCAUAGAAAGGCAAACACAUAACCAACUUAUCUGCCGAUAAUCCUCUGUCAAUCCAUGCCUUUAAAACCUGAUCGGUACUUCUAACAAAGCCGCCGCUACUUGAGCCAUAGAGAGCCGCAGGUGGCGCCGUGAAGUUUGUUGACACAGGCUCGUAGUAGCUAGCAGUAACCGCAUGAACCCAAUUCAAGUUUCGUUCUAUCGAAUUCAAAAGAUAUGAAUUCGCUGGUGGUGAAUAAUGAAAUCUUGCGGUCAAGAUCAGCUGGGAUUGCUGGCGACUAGAGUUUUUUGCCUCUAAUUUUGUAGCAGCAAUUCGCCACUCGUCAAAAAGUAAACCAAUAUUGAACAAAUCGGUGCUUGUGUUUGGAGCUGUCCAAGCAAAGUCUAGGCCCUGAAAGCCAUAAAGCCUAGCUAUUCUUAUUGAAGAGUCGAUGAAAGAUUUUCUGUGAGAAGAAUUGCUCACCAUUGAAGAAUAAAUAGAAUAGUUUGUAUCCAUUCCUUGUCCAAUGGAGAGAAGUAUAGUGAUUGAUGGGUUCUCUUUUUUCACAGUGUCUACGAAUUUGGCGAUUUGAUUUUCAUCGGAUGGUAAUGAUAAAGAUAGCUGGUAAGUGGUGGAAUUGAUAUCAGCGUAAGAGCAAAUAAGGUGAGUGAAGAGAUCAUAAUUUAUGCCCGAAAUGGUGGACACUUCGCUUGAAUCCAAGUAACCGACCCUGAUCCACGGUUUUGCUUUCGCGGGAUAAAAUUCUGAAUAGAAUAACAUGUGGAAGAUGAUGCUGAUAAUUAUGGAUGCCAUUUGAGACUUUGUUAGGAAUGGAAAUGGAUCCACACAAGAGAAAUUAAAUAAACACUAGUUUCACAGAUCAUUUAAGUACUUAUGUAAACUAUUAACUUAUAGGUUCAUUUCGUUCCAAAAAAAUCUUAUGUGCUUCUGAUAGGGAAACAUACAUUGCAUGUUAUGAUGAUGAUAGGCGAUGCGACCAUUGCCUGAGAACUAAGAUUUUCUUCCAUCGCUUGGGUGACCUUUCACGAAGAAAAAUGAUGUUUUGAUUUACAUUUGGUUAAACUGAUGACAAAUUUCGGGCCAUAAAUAUCACUAUUGUUUUAUUAAAUAAUAAAAAAAUUAAUUUUACAUGUACGUUGAAAGUUAAUAUUGCAAUCACCAACAAGUGCGUAGAUCAACUGACAAGGGGUUGUUCUAGCUUAACCAAGGUCCUUGGUUCGAGACUUGAGAAUGCAGCUACGUUAAAUACUUGUUGGGAGAGUUUUGUCAUCCUAAUGGCCUUACACGGCUCGAAUCUGAAUUAGAGUUUUGUCACCCUAAUGGUCCUACACGGCUCGAAUCUGAAUUAGUCGAGACCCACUGAUACCAAAUGGCUUCAUAUACCAAAGAAAAAGUUAAUAUUGCAGUCUUUUGAGACUGUGUUGACGUUUAUUCGGUUCGUUUAUUAUAUAUUCCCGUUUUUCUCCCUGUCUGUUUGCUACAGUGCUCUUACAAGGAUAGCAUCUUUAAUGCACCUCAGAAGUAGUUAAGAAAGUCUUGAUAAAAAACCAGACAUUUUCUAUCUACUCAAAACGUAGUUAUUGGACUAAUUAAGAUUCUAAUCCCUUUAAUAAAUAUUCAAAAAGGGUUACUGUCACUACUCAGUCCUUGUUGUUUUAUAAAAAAAAAAAAAAAAGAUAUUUAAAGAGGCAUCACAUAAAUCCUUCCUAAUUACAUUUUGUUUCAUUCAAGUUGUUGACUUAAUUUGACUGCCUGGAAAAAUUAGUAAAGAGGUAAAAAUAAAAAAAAAGGUAAAUUCUAGUUAUUAGACUAAAUAUAUAGUAUAAAUUUGCAGCAACUAGCAAAAAGUUUAGAAUAUGAAAAAUCCUAUUUCAUUUAAAAAACAAUGAAAAUUCUAAUCAUUUUAAAAAAAAAAAACUCUGAAAGUUUGAAAAACUAAGAUUUUAAGAUCCUUUUACAAUAACCAUAAUUAACACAAAUUUCCGAAUUAUUAUUACAUAAUAAAAUUUUACUAAUAGAAAUAAGAAAACAAAACAAAUAGCACUCAAAUCGGAUAUAUAAAAAAAAAUCUUGAAAUAAAUAGAAAAAAUAAGAAAAUAACUAAAACUUGCAAAACGACCAUGAAAGAAAUGAAAUUUCCGGCCGAACCAAGGGGCCAAUGUGCAUAGUAUUAUUGGACUAGAUUUAUCAGACCACAAGCUUCAAAACAAUAUAUUAUAUUUCCUAAAUGGACACAUGUAGGUUAAGUUACUCAAUUGUAUUAGGAGCUGUCCAAGCAAAAUCUAGGCCCUCAAAGCCAUAAAGCCUAGCUAUUCUUAUUGAAGAGUCGAUGAAAGAUUUUCUGUGAGAAGAAUUUCUCACCAUUGAAGAAUAUAUAGAACAGUUUGUAUAUCUUCCUUGUCCAAUUGAGAGAAGUGUAGUGAUUGAUGGGUUCUUUUGUUUCACAGCGUCUGUAAAUUUGGGGAAUAUUUGAUUUCCAUCAAAUGGUGAUGAUAAAGAUAGCUGGUAAGUGGUGGAAUUGAUAUCAGCGUAAGAGCAAAUAAGGUGAGUGAAGAGAUCAUAAUUUAUGCGCGAAAUGGCGGACACUUCGCUUGAAUCCAAGUAACCGACCCUGAUCCACGGUUUUGCUUUCGCGGGAUGAAAUUCUGAAUAGAACAACAUGUGGAAGAUGAUGCUGAUAAUUAUGGAUGCCAUUUGAGAGGCUUAAGCUUCUUAAUUACCACUUCGAUGGGAAUGGAAAUGAAUGCACACUGACACCAGACACAAUAGAUGAGAAAGUACAACGUCACACACUCAAGAAAUCACAAGCUCACCACCACAGCAAACAACAAAAGGAUACAGAAAAAUAUUCACCACCUAAAGUUGUUAAGCUACGGAUACAGAGCUUAAAACACUCACCACUCAAUGGAAUCCACCAAAGAGAUACAGAGUUUGAUAAUAGCUCAAAGUUCAUUCAAUUUCUAAAAUUAAUCUUCGUCCUUUUGUUACAACUACAUAAGCUUAAAUAAUUUUCUUGGAACAAUCCUCCAAGCAUAGAUUUACUACAAAGAAACCCUUCAAAUAACUUGACUUUAAAGACCAACAUUAAAGCUAGACAUUAAUAAAACAUUAGUAUGCUUAAAACACAACAAAGAACAUUAAAAAAAAUCUAAGUCCCGAAAUAUUCUUCUUGACUCAAAACUGAACAGUCUGCACUUAACUGAUCAUAACUUACUGUAGAAAACUCCAAAUUUAGAUUAGUAAAAUUCAUUGGAAAGCUAACAGAAAUAUCUUUCCAAUGAUGUAUGGCUCGAAAAUUAAUUCGAUCUCAUGCAGUACAGUUUAAUUCCAAAAGAUGCCCCUUCUGCACAGAAAUUCUGCUCACUUGAUUAAUGUAAGAACUUGAGCUGCACUUGGUAUAACUUGAUUACCAAAUAUUUCAAACACUCCUGUGUUACACACUAAGAGAAAUUAAAUAAACACAAGGUUCACAGUUCAUUGAGCUCUCAUGUUAACGUAUAGGUUCAUUUCGUUGCAAAAAAAAAAAAUCUUACGUGCUCCUGAUAGUGACACAUACACUGCAUGUUAAGAUGAUGAUGGGCGAUGCGACCAUUGCCUAAGAACUAAGAUUUUCUUCUACCGCCUGGGUGACUUUCCAUGAAGAAACAUGAUGUUUUGAUUGACAUUUGGUUAAACUGAUGACAUAUUUUGGGCUACAAAUAUUAGUAUUGUUUUAUUAAAUAAAAAUAAUAAUAAUUUUACGUGCAUGUUGAAGGUAAUAUUGCAGUCUUUUGAGCCUGUGUUGAAUUUCAUUCGUGUGCGUUCAUUUAUUAUCCAUCCCCUUUUUUCUCUGAGUCUGCUAGCCGUAGUCAUCUUAAAACGAUAACAUGUUUAAUGCAUGUAAAUGCACCUCAGAAGUAGUCAAGAAAGACUUGAUCAAACCAGAAAAUUUUCCUCUUAACACAGACGUAGUUAUCGGACUAAUUAAGAUUCUAAUCCAUUUAAGAAAUAUUCAAAAAGGGUUAUUGUCACUACUUUAGUCCUUGUUGUUUUAUUAAAGAAAGAAAAAAAAAAGAAUAUAUUUAAAGAAGCAUCACAUAAAUCCUUCCUAAUUACAUUUUGUUUCAUUCAAGUUCUUGACUUAAUUUGACUGCUUGGAAAAAUUAGUAAAAAGGUAAAAAUAAAAAAAAUGUAGAUUGAUAUUAAGGAAUUCAGCAAGCAAGCUACAAGAAUAUCCAAAAGCGUGUAAUUUAUGUUUAAGGAAAUAAGUGGAGAUAGAGAUGAAAUUGUAAAUUCAUCCCAAUCUUAAGUGGUUUAAUUCAAGAUGUAUGUUAGCUACAAGCACAGUAAGCAUGGUGAUGUCUCUCUUUAACGCAGGGGACACAACAAAAACACUGUAUUUCUACCCUUUUAAAAAAUUCCAAUAAUAUGUACACGUUAUAUAUAAGAUAUAAAAAUCAUUACUUUUAGUAUAAGAUAUAAAAAAAAAAUCAAUUAAUAACCAUUAGAGAAUAAAAAUUUAUGUAAUUGAUGCAGAUAAAUGGAAUCAAGUAGUAACAUUUCCUUCUCAUUGAAGAGAAAAGAUUUAAAAAAAAAAAGGGGAACGCAAACAUGACAAUUUUUUUUAUCCGCACACGCCAUGAUAAUCGAUAAUCCGAUAUACCAACCGCGUCUAAUUGUCUGAAUUCUCCAGCUUACCAAGCUUGCUCAAUCGCACCGACAGACACUGACAAUGGGAGAUUAAUCACCACUCGCAGUAUUCGACGCGUGAAGGACACAUUCACCAAUAAUUUAUAGCGGACAGUAGCAUUCCCGAUGCUGCACGGAGAAAAAUAGUUGGAUUUGCGUAAGUUAAAUUGACUUGACUCGAGAGAGUGAAGAAUGGUGGUGGUUGCUGUUAAGCAGUCAGUACUUCUGGCGACUGCUUGGCUUACACGCAGUUCUUGGGGGUGUCAUUUGACUGUGAAAAAGAAUUUUGGCUUUAUUGAUAUCAUGUUGGAUUUGGAAUUUUGGAUGGCUUCGUUUGGACCAUAAGACGCUAUCUCAUCCAUAACACGUUAGCAGUCCUUCUCACGGGAGAAAAACUGGGGUGGGAUUGAGCAAGAUUAUAUGAGUCCUCGAAGUGUCACUUACAAAUUUUUAAUUAUAAAUGACUGCCGAAUAAUUAAUCAAAAUUUUAUUAUUUAUGGUUAUAAUUAGAAUGAUAAGAAAUCAAUUCGAUGUUAUUCUUUGUGGCUCUGCUUAGAAUACUAAAAAAUCAAGUCGACUUACUUAUCUUUAUGUUGAUCAUUACAGGCCUUUUGAAUUUUUUAUCUACUUUAGUUGUAAGUAAUAUAACUUCACUUUUUUUUCUUUACUUUGGUUUGGUUUUCUUUAUAACUCAUAAAAAUUUUCUCGUUAAGAUUGUAUGAACCAAUUGAAACUUCAGAUUUGUAUGAACCAAUUGAAACUUCAGAUUCAUACUAGAAUUAUGAUGAUUCAAUAAAACCUUCAAAUUAAAUUCACAUAUUCCAUGAGGGAGAACCCUUGGAUUACAUUUGUUCAAGUUUAUGCUUUGAGUAAAAUAAAAGUAGAAAUAGGAAUUUGAAAGAAGAAAUUUAGUUAUAAAAAAUUAUCAAAUAAUUAAUUGUUUGGCAUUUAUUUUAUGGGUCCCAACCCAUGUGAUCCGCCAAAUGAGACGUCUUAUGUGAUUGGUUAUGCCAUGGUGCGCUAGCCACAUUUAAGUUUCUCUCUUCUUAUGGAUAUAACUGUAUAUGGGUGGCGUUAUAUAGUGCCCCACAUGGGCUCAUUAAAAUUAUUUUAUGUGCAUUUUAAACAUACCCUCUUUAUUGAUUUGAAACACCAAAAAUACCUCUCUUAAAUUUUAAAAAUAUAAAAAAAAAUUACGUGUUAAAACAAUGCUUGAUGUCUCUAGCCUAACAGUUAGCACACCUAUUGUAUACACUUUUACUUUUUUCUUCUCUAAUUUUUUACUCCUCUUUUCUCUAAUUCUUCACACUUCACUACUCUUUUAUCUCUAAAAAAAUUAAGCAAUCUCUAGAAGCUUAUUACUAAUUUUUUGAUCAAAUUACUUAUAUAAGUACUCUUGAUUGAUUAACACUUCUUUAAUUUUUUUUGGGGAUUUCUCUUAGAUGAAAGAAUUAAGGUUAUGUUCUAAAAAAAAUUUAACUCCCAUAUUAUGGUUUUGAUAAUGCGAUUAUCCUUAAAUUUUUCAACAUAUUAAAAUACUUUGAAACAACUGUAAAUGUGUUGAAUGAAAUAUUCUAAUAAAUUUAUAUUUUGGUACUUAUUAAUUAUUUAACUUUUUUCUUAAAAUUACAUUACUAUUUCAGCUUAGCCCUUGUGACAUUAAAUUCCUGAUAGCGCCACUAAAUGUAAGUUUUAAACUCAUGUUCGAUUUCUCCCAUGUUCAAACUCUACCUUUAAUUUAUAUUUCAAUUUUGUGGCCUACUUUUGAGUUUCUAAUUUCACAUAGAAGGCAUGUUAAACUUACCUUAGAUGCAAUAUUAAGAAAUCAAAUACACCAUGUGCAUUAGUGGGGGCGAAAAAAAAAAGAAAAGAAAAAGUCUUUUAUUGGUAAAAGAUGAAAGCUCUUCGGCACUGAUCAGAAGAAAAAUCAUUCUCCAUACAAUGAGCAAAACAAAGUCCAAUUCGCAUUGCAUAGAAGUAAGACCGAAGCAUUGGACUAAAAGCAUACACUAGUCUUAUUUUUCGUUACUGAUAACAUUUUUUUUCCCCUUAUAUUAUCACCUUAAUUAAGAAAAAUAAUAAUUUGUUUAACUAUUUGCGAAAAAGGAUGGCAAUAUACAAUAUUAUUGUGUUGAUGACCUUGAAAGCCAAUUCUUUUGAAACAGAAAAACUGUUUUUGUGUUUUGAUUAUGUUAAGCAAAUGAAUGGUCUUUAAGAGUUAUGAAAAUGUUAUCAAUAAAAUUACAAACUCUUAAGAGUUUAUAGAUGUAGUUAGUGAUAUUACAUUACAUUAAUUAAUACAAUACAAACUGUUUACUAAUAGAGCCUCAAGAGAGUAAUUCAUUAUUUAGUUGGCAAAUUAAACAACUGCAGCAGUCACUAGCAGCCUUCCAUGAGCUAGCAUAGAUCAAUUGUUCAUUUACCAACCAAUUGUGAAAUUGUUACAUCAUUACUUGAACAUAUUUCCAAUCCAAUCAUGGCUUUGUUUUGUUCAUCUUCAUAAGCUUUGUUUGAGAAACUUGCAGGCUUCUUUGGAGUCAUUAUAUCAGCUGUAUUCUCAUUUUCGAGCAUCGAAGAAAUUUCCAGUAUAGAAGACCUCUUGUUUGGGUUCUCCUGAACACAUAGCAAAGCUACUUGGAGACAUGUCAAUAAUUUCCACGAGGAAUUCGUAUCAUCUAGUGAUGGAUCCAUUAACUCCACGCCUUUCCCAUCCUUCCACAACUCGUAUGCCUGAAAACAUCAAAUAAGUUAUCGAGUUACAUUCCAUUGAUUAGCACUAUAAUGUUUUGAUUCAGUGUGUAUUAGAAAGGGGGUUAUGAAGAAACUUACAUACUCUACAAGGCUUAGAUUUUCAUUUUGACCAUAUCGAAUGAAAAGUCUUCUUCCACUUAUAAUUUGUAGAACCAAAACUCCAAAACUGUAGACAUCAGAUUUAGUGGAGUAGACUCCUCUUCCAAUAUAUUCAGGAGGAAUAUAGCCUCUAUAGUAUCGAGUAAUUACAAAUGUUACUAAAACUAUUUGACGUAAAAGAUUAAGUUGAUUGGUAAAGGUUCAACAAUAAUAUUAAAGACAAGUCAGAAAAAAAAUAGAAAAAUAUAUACUUACUGGGUUCCAACAAUUCGAUUUGUGUUUGCUUCAAGAUCAUCUUUCACGAAAAUUCUAGCCAAGGCAAAAUCUGAUAUUUUAGGUUUCAAAUCUUCAUCCAACAAAAUAUUACUAACUUUUAAGUCUUGAUGAAUAAUUGUUAAUCUAGAAUAUUCUUGGAGAUAGAGAAGCCCCUGAAUAAUUCCUUGAAUGAUAUGAAUACGUUUUUUUCCAAUCCAAAAUAAACCUUCUGAUGGGAUCUGCAUCAAAUGUAAAUUUAGUUGGACGGUCAGUACCAUUAGCAUUUGGAGACGAGAAAUGCAAAUUGAGGCACAAAAAUUAGAAAUUAAGCAGUUAAGCACAUACAAAAAAGGAAAUAGUCUAAGCUUCGUUUUGGUAUAUACUCAUAGAUGAGCAUAUAUUCUUGUGUGUCAAUGCAAAAACCCAAAACUCUGAUCAAAUUUACGUGUUGAAGCUUUGCAGUAAGCAUAACCUCAUUCUUGAACUCCUCAAAUCCUUAUGUGGAUGUCUUCGAUAGUUUCUUCACUGCUAUUAUUUGUCCAUCAGAUAAUACACCCUGCAAGCACCCCCCAAAAUAUAUGUUUUUUUAAAAAUCAGUGUGUUCACACAUGUUGAAAAGUCAUGCACGUGACAUUGAAAUUCAAAAAUGAAUGCAAAAUUUCAAAUGGCUACCAAACAUUUGAAGAAAAAAUGGAAAGUUGGCAAAUUUGUCAAAUUUGCCAAAUGGACACCAUUGACUAUUGGCUUAGGUUAUGUGGAAUAGUAAAAGGGUUGGUGCAAUAGUGCCAUUAUUUUCCCUAUAAAUAGAUGGCACUUCUUCCAUUCUAAAUCAUCCCAAAAUUGUUAAGCUUAUAAGUUUCUAAGCUUUUGAGAGAAGUGAGAGAAGUGUGUCUGAGGAAUUUAUCUUUCCUGCAGAGUGUGAGAGUACUGGGUAUAUUUGGGUUUCUGGGAAGUGAGAUUCGUUACUCAAAUAUUGUAUUCUAUUAAUUGUUAAAUAAACAAUUAUUCUUUCUUGCCUUCGUGGAUGUAGGUUUAAUUACCAAACCACGUAAAUUCUUGUGUCCUUUAUUUUUCAGUAAUUAUUUGGUGCGCUUGAUUCCGCAUUCCGCGCACAACAAGUGGUAUCAGAGCCGACGGUUCGUACUUGGGGGGAUACGGUACUAUUCACGUAUACGGUACUGUUCACGUAUACGGUAAUGUUCAUGUAUACGGUACUAUUCACGAAUACGUUGGAGACGGCCAUUUGUACUUGGGAGACAGUCUAUUGUAAGUAGUGUGUAUUUUUGCAUGUCUAGGAAAGUUCUGUCAAAAAAGGCGAUAAGAGUCUAAGGAUUCUGGUUUUUAAUUGGGACCGAAUUCCCGUCCAGUUUUCUGGGAACUUUCCUGGUGCAUUUAUUCACGCGAAAUUAACAUCAUAGAGGCUGUUUUUCAAGUGGAAAUAGUUCGUUGAGAAAAAUCGUAGAAGGUGAAACUUCCAGAAUUGGGGAGAGAUCUACCGAGACUAUUUCAGGAGACAUUUCAGGUGGGAGGCGAGAUUUGUCAAAUCGCUAUUCAGCACCUGUUAUAGGAGGCCAGAAGAUCGAUGUUGAAAAGUUUGAUGGGAAAAUCAACUUCGGCAUGUGGAGGCGCGAAGUUAUGGAUGCCCUUAUUCAAAUCGAUCUCGAUGUUGUCCUGAAAAAUAAAAGACACUUGUAUGAUGAAGAAAUUUGGGAUCGUAUGAACGAGAAAGCCUGUGGUCAGAUCAGAUCUUGUUUGACCAAGGAGGUGAAAUACUUGGUGAAAGAUGAGGAGUGUGCAGUGACUUUGUGGCGUACAUUGGAAGAGAAGUACCUGGUGAAAAGUCCUGAAAAUCGUCUUCAUGCAAUGAGCCAAGUAUAUGGCUUUCGAAUGAAGUCUGGGGUGUCAAUGCACGAUCAUGUUUCAAGAUUUAAAAAGUUACUUGCUGAUUUGAAGAAUCUUGAUGAAGAUAUUAAAGAUGAAGUCAAUGCUAUGAUUCUGUUACACUCACUACCAGAGGAAUAUAGCCAUUUUGUGACUACUUUGAUAUAUGGGAAGAGUGUGAUCGUCUUUAAAGAUGUUUGCACAGCAUUGACUAGUUUGGAGAUUCGGAAUAAUGAUAAAAAUUCUGAACGAGCAUCGUCUGAAGCUUUGGUGAGCAGAGAUUGGGCGAUGGAGAAAAAGAUAAAUGGUGGUGGAAAGAAUUCUCGAUCCAAAUCGAGAAGCAGAAAUAUAGCUCGAGAUGAGUGUGCCUUUUGUCAUGAAAAGGGCCAUUGGAGGAAAGAUUGUCCAAAGGCUCAAAAGAGAGAUGGGAAAAAACCAGCAUCAGCAAACAUGGCACGGAAAGAUGAGGACUCUGAUUAUUCACUAAGUAUCACUCCUGCAGCAUAUGUGGCUAGUUCGAGUGAGUGGAUACUUGAUACUGGAGCAACCUAUCAUUUGUGUCAUAUUAAGGAAUGGUUUACGGAUUUUCGUAAUCUGGAAUCCGGUGCAGUUAUGAUGGGGAAUAAUCAACCUUGUCGCACAAUGGGGAUAGGAACAAUUCGGCUCAAAAUGUUUGAUGGAAUGGUCAGAGAACUCAAAGAGGUUAGAUUUGUUCCAGAGAUAAAGAAAAAUCUAAUUUCUGUGGGUGCUUUGGAAGCUAAAGGUUACAAAGUUACCAUUGAAGAUGGCACAAUGAAGUUUACACAUGGGGCUAUGGUGAUUCUGCAAGGGGUUCGGCGUCACAAUCUGUACUAUUUGAAAGGAGGUACAACUGAUGAAGCAAAUGUUGUUGAGGCGCACAGUGACACCACCAAGCUAUGGCAUGUACGACUGGGACAUGCAGGAGAGAAGUCUUUGCAAACUCUGAUGAGGCAUGGACUCUUAAAAGGUAUCAAAACCUGUAAAUUAAAUUUCUGUGAGCAUUGUGUAGUAGGCAAAAAAACAAGGGUCAAGUUUGGUACAGCUAAUCACGAUACUCGUGAGAUCCUUGAAUAUGUUCAUAGUGAUGUAUGGGGACCAACCAAGACUGCAUCAAUUGGUGGAAGCCAUUAUUUUGUUAUAUUUGUUGAUGAUUUCUCUAGACGUGUAUGGGUGUACACCAUGCGAGCAAAGGAUGAGGUUCUAGAGAUUUUCGUGAAGUGGAAGAAAUUGGUGGAGACUCAAACUGGCAGAAAGAUCAAAGUAUUACGAUCUGAUAAUGGGGGUGAAUAUACUUCUGAUCCAUUCUUGCAAGUAUGCCAGAACGAGGGUAUUAAAAGACAUUUCACAGUGAGACAUACUCCGCAACAGAACGGUGUGGCUGAGCGUAUGAAUCGUACUUUACUGGAGAAGGUACGAUGUAUGUUAUCUAAUGCUGGUUUAGAUAAAAAGUUUUGGCCUGAAACUGUGAGCUACGCAAGUCACUUGGUAAAUCGGUUGCCUUCUGCUGCAAUUGGAGGUAAAACUCCUAUGGAAAUGUGGUUUGGAAAGCAUGCACAAGACUAUGAUUCCCUUCGUGUAUUCGGGUGUCCAGCUUAUUAUCAUGUCAAAGAUGGUAAACUGGAUCCUCGUGCUAGAAAAUCUAUCUUUGUGGGAUUCAAAGGUAGAGUAAAGUGCUUCAAGCUUUGGGAUCUCGAAGACAAAAAGUUUGUGUGUAGCAGAGAUGUCACAUUUGAUGAAGCUUCAAUGAUAAAAGCUUCAAGUUCUCAGCAGGUGGAGAACAAGACCACAUAUGUAUUGCAGCGGGUGGAGUUUGAUGCAACUCCAUAUGUACCAGUUAGUUCUACAUCAAAGAAUGGUUCAACUAUGGAGGUGACACCUAAAGUUGAAGAAGAGGUUGUUUCUUCUGAUGUCCCACAAAAUGAAGAAACAAUUGAUGAUGUAGAUGAUGAUGAUUUUAUAGCAACAAGGAGGCCAAGAAGAGAGAUAAAGAAACACGGAUGGCUUACUAAAGAUAUGGUGGUAGCCUAUGCACUUUCAGUUAUUGAUGAUGACAUCCCCAAUACUUUCGGUGAAGCAUUACGCAGUAAUGAAAGUGAUCAGUGGAAGCUAGCCAUGGAGGAAGAGAUGAAAUCUCUCCAUCAAAACCAGACUUGGGAACUUGUAAAGUUACCAAAGGGGAAAAGGGCUAUUGGCAAUAAAUGGGUCUACACCAAAAAGCAAGGAUCUCCGAAUCAAACAACUCCUCGAUACAAGGCAAGGCUCGUGGCAAAAGGUUUUGCUCAAAAGGAAGGUAUUGACUACAAUGAAGUUUUGUCUCCAGUUGUAAAACAUACUUCCAUUCGUAUCCUACUUGCCUUAGUUGCAGAAUAUGAAUUAGAGUUGGCUCAGUUGGAUGUUAAGACGGCGUUCUUACAUGGAGAUUUGGAGGAGGAAAUCUACAUGAUUCAGCCUUGUGGUUUUAGAGUUGCUGGAAAGGAGAAUCAUGUGUGUAGGUUGAUUAAAUCUUUGUACGGACUGAAGCAAUCGCCAAGGCAGUGGUAUAAAAGAUUUGAUCAAUUUAUACAAGGGCAGAAAUUCACCAGAAGUGAACACGAUCAUUGUGUUUACUUUAGAAGACUACCAGAUAGAGCUUUCAUCUAUUUGCUACUCUAUGUCGACGAUAUGCUUAUAGCUUCGAAGAAUAGAGAUGAGAUCGAAAGAUUAAAGAAGCAGCUGGCUUCUGAGUUCGAGAUGAAAGACUUGGGUGAUGCACAGAGAAUACUUGGGAUGGAGAUUUGUAGAGACAAGAAGAAUGGGAGCGUAUGGUUGACUCAAAAGUCUUAUUUGAAGAAAGUGCUAGAAAGAUUCGGUAUGGAUGACAAAACUAAACCGGUAUGUACACCUCUAGCUCCUCAUUUCAAAUUAGGCUCUUCUUCAUGUCCUAAAUCUCAAGAGGAGCGCGAUUACAUGGCUCGUGUUCCAUAUGCUAGUGCUGUGGGUAGUCUUAUGUAUGCUAUGGUAUGUACAAGGCCCGAUAUAUCUCAAGCAGUAAGCAUGGUUAGUAGAUACAUGCACGAUCCGGGUAAAAGUCACUGGCUUGCAGUAAAGUGGAUUCUUCGAUAUCUGUAUGGGACAGUUGAUGUUGGGUUAUUGUUCAAGAAGGAUUGUGGUCAACAAUGUGUUGGCUAUUGUGAUUCUGAUUUCGCUGGAGACCUUGACAAGCGAAGAUCAACAACGGGCUACGUAUUCACAUUGGGUGGAGGUCCAGUUAGCUGGAGGUCAAUUUUGCAAUCGACAAUUGCUCUGUCCACUACGGAAGCAGAGUACAUGGCAACAACUGAAGCUGUAAAGGAAGCUAUCUGGUUGAAAGGCUUGUUAGGUGAUUUGGGAGUAAUCCAGGAGAACAUUACGGUCUUCUGUGAUAAUCAAAGUGCGAUAUUCCUUGCGAAGAAUCAAACAUAUCACGCUCGGACAAAGCACAUAGAUGUGAAAUAUCAUUAUGUGAGAGAGAUUAUCGAGAGCGAUGUUGUGUUGUUGAGAAAGAUCGAUACCAAAGAUAAUCCAUCAGAUAUGUUGACGAAGGUAGUUUCUGGAGUUAAGUAUCAACAUUUCUUGAAAUUAAUUCAAAUCCUUCGAUUGUGUUAAAGAUAUGUCCUUCGGGAAUUUUGAACUACGGUUGGCUUGAUCCCAAAUUUUGGGUACGUAGGCAGUCGAAACGACACAGCCAUUCUGGAUCCUUAUUGAAGGAUCACUUUGGGGAUGAGGGUUCGUUGGUAGUCGGCUCAGAUUUGGACAAAUUUUCGCCGAGGUGGAGAAUUGUUGAAAAGUCAUGCACGUGACAUUGAAAUUCAAAAAUGAAUGCAAAAUUUCAAAUGGCUACCAAACAUUUGAAGAAAAAAUGGAAAGUUGGCAAAUUUGUCAAAUUUGCCAAAUGGACACCAUUGACUAUUGGCUUAGGUUAUGUGGAAUAGUAAAAGGGUUGGUGCAAUAGUGCCAUUAUUUUCCCUAUAAAUAGAUGGCACUUCUUCCAUUCUAAAUCAUCCCAAAAUUGUUAAGCUUAUAAGUUUCUAAGCUUUUGAGAGAAGUGAGAGAAGUGUCUGAGGAAUUUAUCUUUCCUGCAGAGUGUGAGAGUACUGGGUAUAUUUGGGUUUCUGGGAAGUGAGAUUCGUUACUCAAAUAUUGUAUUCUAUUAAUUGUUAAAUAAACAAUUAUUCUUUCUUGCCUUCGUGGAUGUAGGUUUAAUUACCGAACCACGUAAAUUCUUGUGUCCUUUAUUUUUCAGUAAUUAUUUGGUGCGCUUGAUUCCGCAUUCCGCGCACAACAACACACACACACGUAGCUUGCACUAAUUAAUUAAUAAGCUGAGAGAUAACCAAGCUACCGAUACAUAACCUUGUAAACAGGACCAUAUCCACCCUCCCCGAGCUUAUUUUCAAUUAAAAAUCUAUCCGUGGCCACCUCAAUAUCAGCCAAGCUAUAUUCUCUCAGAUCAGGAUCAUUGCUGUUAAAAUCUCCAGCAUCCGCUUGUCUAUUUUCGCUGUCCUUUGAUGCUUUGGCUGAGUCAAUUACGGUCCAAUUAAUAUCAACCAAGAGAAAGAAAGCUAAUUUAAGUGAAUCGCCCACUUCUUCAUCUGUGUUAAAUGGAAUAGAAGUAAAAAUAUUCCUAAUCCCGUGUAGAAGAAGUUACCUUUUAAUUUGAGGUUUUUCAUCCAGCAGUAGUAAUACAGCAAAAAGCCUAUUAGAAGAAUACAAGCUGCAGUUAUAGGCAAAACAAUUGCCCAUAAUAGCCGCUUAUUUUGUCGAUUCCUUUCAUCCUCUUCAGCUGAAAAGUCAAAUCACUUUGUGUUAUUUAACCACUGAUGGUCAAAUAAAGAUCUUAAUUGAAGUCAUUAUGCAGAGAACUGAUCGAAUGGGUAGCAGGCAGUGAGUGAGGCUUUGCAUUUGCUUACCUGCAGCUUGAGAAAGCAUCCAAUAAUGAUCACUGGAAACUUGCCACACAUAGUAACCACGUAGCUUCUUUUCCUUGGCAUAUGCAACCUUCACUCUAACAGCCUCGACAUCAUCAAAACCAAACCAAAUCUUCCCAAUCGAGCAGUAAUUCACGACAUAAGUUGAAUUGUACAUUACUUGAACAUUAGGACGAUAGUUCUUGAUGUGAUUCUUGACUUCCUUAUAAGUCACAAGGCCAUCAUCAUGCAAAGCUGGUCCUGUUGUUGCUGCGCCAAUGCCAUUGUCCUCAGGUUUCACAAGCGUCCAUGCAUAGCCAUAAAAAGGCAAACAUAAAACCAAUUUAUCAGCCGAUAACCCUUCCUCAAUCCAUUCCGUGAUUCCAUAUUCAGUAUUAGAGACACUAUUUGGAUCAUACAGAGCCGCAUGAGCACCAGUAAAAUUUUUCCGCGUAGGGCUUGAGUAUUCGGUAGUGAUAACAUGAACCCAAUUCAAGUACUGUCUUAUCGAGUCGACUGGAUAAGCUGCUGCUGUUGAGAGUGGUGAAUAUGCGACCUUUGCUGUCAAAAUCAACUGUGAUUGGCUCGAGUUAUUUCUUGCUUCUAAAGCAACGGCAGCUCGCCAUUCUUUUAAAGAGAAUGCCAAUAUUGUACUUAUCCCAGUUUGUGUUUGCCUGAUUCCAAGACAGAUCUAAGCCUUGAAAGCCAUAAAGCCUUGCUAUUUUUAUUGAGGAGUCAAUAAAGUAUUUCCUGAAAGAAGGAUUGCCCGCCAUGGAAGAAUAACUUGAAUAGUUUGGAUUAUUGCCUCCUCCGAUGGAAAGAAGAGUAGUGAUUGAUGGGUUCUUUAUUUUGACAGUGUCUGUGAAGUUGGAGAAUUGUUUUUCAUCAGAAGGUGAUAAAGAAAGCUCAUAGGAAGUUGAGUUGACAUCGGCAAAACCACACAUAAGGUGAGUGAAAAGAGCAGAAUUUACAUCUGAAACGGGGAACCCACCGUCUGAAUCCCAGUAACCAGCUCUGAUUAAAGUUUGUGCCCUUGCAGGAAGCGAUUCUGAAAAUAUAAAAAUGUAGAGUACAAGAAUGAUAAUUUUGGAUGCCAUUGUGGGAACCUUGCUGCUUUGAGGCAAACCUAGUAUGUGAUUACAUAUAUAUGUACAGACACAAAAUGUAAUGGAGAAAAUAUCCGACACCGAUUGAGAUUUGUUAUUGGACUAUAAUACAAACUUGAGGCAACUUUCAACUCAUGAGCUUAGCUCAUAAGUCUUUAUACGGUAUCAAAGUCAAGUUUCGAAAGAGUGACUCUAUACUACCUUUCAAUUUAACAAAGAGAAAGAAAAGAGAUCAGCCUACACGUGGUAGGAAGAUAGAAAAAGUAUAUCACAUUGGCUAAGAUUAAUUACUAGGUUGAUAAUAUAAGCUCAAAACAACAUUUAACUGUUGCGGAAAUGUGGGUUGAGCAAUUACUAAUACUGCAACUUCUGAAGAAAUAUAAAUGUGGUGUUAAACAAAUGCAAAGAAAAUAUAACACAAUGAUUUACGUGGUUCGGCGUAAUGCUUACAUCCACAGGCAAAAACUAAAAGAUAAUUUUACUAACAAUGAAAAUUUACAAAAGUGAGAAAAAUUCACAAAACCCACAACCCCAAUACACCCAAAUGAAACCUAACUAGAACACUCAAAUGGAAGCUCUCGUAAAUUCUCUCAAAGAACUCACUUGCAAUUGCUCUCUCCAUUUCUUUCAAAUUGGGAUGAUUUACAAAUGCAUUUUGCUUCUCUAUUUAUAGGCAAAGCAUGCUCACCCACCACACGGCUUCAAUUUGACUUUAAUUGGCUAAAUUGACAAAUUUGGCAAUUGGUGCCAAAUUUGUCAUGCAAUGCAUGCUAGCUGUUCCAUGCCAUUUAUUCAAUUUGCAUAUUUUCAAAACCUAACUUUGCUUUUUUGAAAUUGGUAAGCCGACCAUUUGACUUUUCAACAUCAACUCCAUAACAAGCUGUAAUUUAAUAAAGUUAGGUCAACUCGAUAUUUUAUAUAGUACGUCAUGAGUGAGGAGGAGUUUAAGCUACAAAUCGCAGUCAUGAGUGAGGACAAAUUUGAUUCUCUCAAGAUUUUGCGUUUUGUACACGUUGAUCAUGGACUGAAUCAAAAUAGAAAAUAUUUUCACAGGAGUUUGCCUUCAAAUUGCACGAAUGGAACCAUAGAGGAAUACAUCGAAAAGUUUGUCUUCUUGCCAUGAUGUUAAGUGAGAAGAUUGAAGUUCUUAAAUUAAGCUAUGACGUUUUACCUCCACUUAGCUUGACUUCUGAAGCUGAAGACUCAUCCUUUUGCAUUGACUUUGUUGGUAUUUAAAUGACCUCGGAGUCUUGGACGUGUUUCUGAAGCAAUGUCAUGGUCUAUGAGUAGAUUUUAUUUUUUGGGUAAGAAAGGGAAAGUCUGUCGUUAGGAAAACAUCCUGACAACGAGAUGGUGAGAGGGGAUGAAAAAGAAAUUAUACACUUAGUUACUUCCUCAUGAUAAGAUUCAGUGGUAUUGUAAUUUUAAUAAAAAAUUAAGACCAUUUUGCCUUUUUCCUUGUGUAAUUUAAUUUUCAGUCAAGACCACCCUCCCAUUUUAGUACAGGGAAAUUAUCAUUUGUAUAUUCUUAGUUUACUCCAUUAUCAAAAAUAUUACAACACUUUGAGGGUGUAUCAAUCGUCUACCCUAAGUUGACAAAAUGUAUUAGCUGACCACCAAACCGUUAGUUGCCGUUUAAGUAUGAUGAUAUCAGAAGGGUAAUUUGGUUUUUUCAUAUGAUACAAGUGAUAAUUUAAGGGUAUACAAGUGAUAAAAAGAGAAUUUAAGGGUAUACAAGUGAUAAUUUUCAAGGGUAAAAUCGUCAAUUCACUGUAAUUCCGUUAACUUUCAAACGGCAACUAACGGUUUGGUGGUCGGCUGAUACAUUUUGUCAACUAAGGGUGGACGAUUGAUACACCCUCAAAGUGUUGUAGUAGUUUUGAUAACAGAGCAAAUAUAAGGUAUACGAAUGAUAAUUUUCCUUUAGUAUAAAAGCCUAUACAAAUGUACGUUUUACUCAAUGUUUACAUAGAAACAAAUGGCGCGAAGACGAUUUGUCAAUCUAGUACCACUCUCGUAUACUUGGUAAGAUUUGGCUUCACCAAAUUGUAGCCUAUAUUUUACUUUAAUGAGAAAAUCAAAUAAUAUAUGUUUGAACAAAUAAUUUUCUUUGCUCUAUAUACUUUCUUAAAAUGUAUGGAGUGGGUAAAGUAUAAAUUGAUCUCUUAGCCCGUUGACUCCUCCAAAAUUCAAACUCAAUUUAAUGGUAAGUUAAAUAAUGCUACUUGAAAAUCAUUCCACCAAAUAUCAUAAAAACUAUAAUUAAGUUUCACUGAUUAUUGAAUUAUAGAAUGUGCUAUCAUUUCCUAGCUAGAAUUUGUUUAAUUCUAUUAAUUUACAAUCAUUUUUAUUUUAUUUAAUUAAUUAAAGUGAAUUUAUUAUGUAUAAGUUCUAUAUAUGUAAAAUUUUAAAAUCUAAUGUUGAAUUGAAUUGUACUGAACUUUUUAUAAUUUUUUAUCACGCCUGCAAAUUUAACAGUUUUGUAUUAAUAUUGAUAGCACAUAAUAUAUAGGAUUAAGAGAGAUUGGUUUCGAGUUGCUACAAGCAUUUUGGGAUUGCAUGCACAAGGGUUUAUAAACAAAGGGUGCAAUUAAUUACCCCAAACGAGGGUGCAUUUUUAUGAUGAAAUAAAAACUACGUGCGGGGUUGUAAAAGUGGCUCCAUAAUUAAUGUACAUUAACAUUCAUCUAGCUAUCACCUCCGAAAAUGAUACAGCAUAAGCCGAGCAUUUUUCCAAUUGUGUUGUAGAUAAUAGUUCAAUCCCAAUUUCAUCAACUUGUUUUGAGAAAGGAGGCUUCUUGGGAGUAUUAAUAUUUGUGGUUCCAUUCUUGAGCAUUGAGGAAACUUCCAGCAUUGAAGGUCGGUCGUUUGGAUUCUCCUGGACACACAACAAAGCUAUUUCCAGACAUCUCAUUAAUUUACAAGGGGAAUUUGUAUUGUCUAGGAAUGAAUCCACAAACUCCACGCCUUUGCCACCUUUCCACAACUGAUAUGCCUGAAAUUAUCAAGUACCAUCUCGUUACAUAAUUUAUACUUCUUAAUUAAGUGCGCAUAUGUGUACUCAGGGUUACUAUAGCCGAAGAAACUUACGUGCUCUAGAAUGCUUAAAUUUUCAUUGAUGCCACAUAACACUGAAAGCCUCUUUCCACUUAUGAUUUGUAGAAGUAAAACUCCGAAACUAAAAACGUCUGAUUUGGUAGAGUAUACACCUUGUCUGGCGUACUCAGGAGGAAUAUAGCCUCUGCAUUCAAAAUAACCAAGUAUAUAUGAGUAAGGGAUUUUGCAAUUUAAUAAAUUUGUAAAACCCAUUUUAAAUUGUGGUAAAAGUCCAUUCCGCAUUUUAUUAAAGUGCUGAAUUCCUUAUUCGAAACCCAAUAUAUGUAUAACAAACAGAAGCUUGAGUAAAGGAUAUCAUUUAGUUGUGAUAUACUUACAUUGUUCCCACAACUUGUUCUGAUUCGCGUCGAGACUCUCUUUUGCAAAAAUUCUAGCCAUACCAAAAUUUGAAAUUUUAGGUUUCAUAUCUUGACCUAACAAAACAUUACUGGCUUUCAAGUCUCGAUGAAUAAUAGUCAGUCUUGAGUAUUCUUGGAGGUAUAAAAGUCCUUGAGUUAUCCCUUCAAUGAUAUGAACAUGUUUUUUCCAAUCCAAAAGAAGUCUUCUGAUGGGAUCUACAACAAAUAUAUAGUUUUGGACAAUAAGUGAUAUACAAGCGAAUUAUAUACACAAUUGAUAUUAACUUGAUUUCAGAACAAACCAAAAAGGUAGCAAUCCAAGCUUUUGUUUGGCAUGUAUUCGUAGACCAGCAUCCGUUCCUCACUGUCAAUGCAAAAACCUAAAACUCUAAUAAGAUUUACAUGUUGGAGUUUUGCAGUAAGAAUAACCUCAUUCUUAAACUCCUCAAAUCCCUGUGCGGAUGAUUUCGAAAGUUUCUUCACUGCUAUCACCACUCCACAGGGUAAUACACCCUGCAACCCAAAAAAAAACCACGUUCAUAUAAAGCUUUCACUAAUUAGAGACGCUGAGAAAUGUUAGCCAAACAAUAUGCUACCCCCCAAAGUUGAGGGCACCAUUUUAAGUCCUUUAGUCCCCAUGGACGCAAAAUGUAAAUCUCCUCUCACAGAAUAUGGAUAUGGGUAGAGGUAUCUUCCUCAAAUGUUAGUCAAAGUAGUUAUAUCCCUCUAGUGUGAGGUUAAAGGUCUCAUCUCUAAUAGGCAUAGAGUUUUAAAUUAUAUGUUUUGGGCCUCUGAAUUCUACGACGAGUGUACAAAUUCAAACUUCCGAUAGGAUCCAAAUUGCAACAUUGUGGAUUGUAACAAAUUAAAAUAUAGGUACACACACACACACACAUGUUACCUUGUAAACAGGACCAUAUCCACCCUCCCCAAGGUUAUUUCUAAUUGAAAAUCCCUCGGUGGCCGCCUCAAUAUCAGCCAAACUAUAUACUCUGAGAUUAGGAACAUUUCUGUUAAAGUCUCCAGCUUCUGUUUCAUUAUUUUCUCUCGUGUUUGAUGCUUUAGCAGAAUCCUCUGUUCCUAACAUCAACCAAGAGUAAAUAUUAGAUAAUUAAUUGUAUGUCAGCCUAAGUUUUAUAUAUAUAUGAAAUGCAUGCUUAAUUAUAAUUGGUAGCUGAAGCUUGUUACCUUCUAUUAACUUGAGCCUUUUCAUCUGGUUGUAUUUAUAUGCACAACAACUUAGAAGGAGAGUCAAAGCUGCCGCUGCAGUCGAAAUGAGUACCAAGGACAGAUGGCGGUUAUUACUAUGUUCAUCUUUGUCAGCUGAAGCAGAAGUAAUCCUGUCUUUUUGUGCUGGAAAUAUGUAUAGUUCAGCAAUUAAUAAUAACUAGCUAGAGAUGCCAUAACAAUCAUUAUUAAUCAGAGAGAACAAUUAUUGCAUAGAUAAAUACCUGCAGCUUGAGAAAGUACCCAAUUAUGAUCGUCAUAAUCAACUCGCCAAACAUAGUAACCAAGAAAUCUCUUCUCUUUGGCAUAGGCGAUCUUAGCUCUAACAGCCUCCACAUCAUCAAAACCAAACCAAAUCGUCCCAGUGGAGAAGUAAUUCACCACAUAAGUUGAAUUGUACAUAACUUGAACAUUAGGACCAUAGGUCUUGAUGUGAUUCUUGAUAUCCCUAUAGGUCACAAGGCCACCAUUACUCAUAGCUGGUCCUGCUGCUGCUACUCCAAUACCAUUGUCUUCAGGUUUCACAAGCGUCCAUGCAUAGCCGUAGAAAGGCAAACACAAAACCAACUUAUCAGCCAAUAACCCUCUCUAAAUCCAUGCCCUUAAAACCUGAUCAGUACUGUCAAAGAAGCUCAUAAUGCAUGGAAGGAUGCAGCACACGUGUGAGAUGAAUAUAGUCAGCUGAAUCAAUUGAAGAGUGGAGUGCCAGCUCAGCUGAAGUUAGUUAGACACGUUAAGAUCAAGUUUUAGUUAGUUCUUCAUUUUCUGUUAAGCUGAAAAACAGCUGAGUAUAAAUACAAGCAUAUUGUAAUCAUUUUGAGGUUAAGUAAAAAUAAAAUAAAGCAUUUGAUUCCAGAAUUUCUUUUACAAAUUUUCUUAGCACUUUAGAUACAUUUUCUCAGUAACCAAACAGUUUGUUCAUUCAAGCUUUUAAGCUUUCAAACAUGGUAUCAGAGCCUUACAGAGCUAGUUCCAGUAAUCAACAGUCAAGCCUUCGUAAUCAAACAACAAACAACACAAAUCAACCUACUCAAAUCAACUUCUCUUUUUCUAAUCCUAUCAAGCUAGAUCGAUCCAAUUACUUACUCUGGCGUUCUCAAGUUUUGGCCUCAAUAAGAGGCAAUCGUUUGGAAGAUUUCGUCACAAGAGCCAGAUCAGUACCUGAUAAGUGUCUUCUGUUAACUGAAGCAGAUGGAUCUACACAACAAGUUGAAAAUCCAGAAUAUCAGAUCUGGAGAUCACAGGAUCAGACACUUCUUGGCUGGCUACUGUUGUCAUUAAGUGAAGGUAUCUUAAGUCUUGUAAUCAAUUGUGAGAGUUCAUUUGAUAUAUGGAAAACUUUGGAAAAGAAAUUUGGAGUUCAAUCUGAAGCUCGAGUUCUUCAGCUCAGAUACGAACUAAACACUCUUAAAAAGGAAGCCCUUAGUGUUGAAGAUUAUUGUAUUAAAAUGAAAGCAAUAGCAGAUAAGCUGGCCAGUGCUGGUAGUUCAAUUACAGAGAAGGAUCUUAUGCUAACUAUUCUUAAUGGAUUAGGAUCAUGAUAUCGUGAUAUUGCUACAUUUAUAACUGGUUCACGAAUGGAGUUUGAUGAUGCUUAUGCACUGUUACUCACUCAUGAGACUAGAUUAGAGCAGGAGCAAGGUGACAAAAGUAUGUUUAAUGCAAACUAUGCAUACACAAAUGCAUAUUAUCCUAGAGCUUAUUUUGCACAGCCUAGAAGAAGUUUUAAACGAGGAGGUUAUUCUGGUGGUAGAACUCCUUUCUUUGGCAGAGGAAAUAUGAAUUACUCUCCAAGAAUGUUUAAUGGAGGCUUUAGAAAUGGAUAUGGCAGAGGAUUUUUUCCUGGAAAUAACUCAACUGAUUUCAAUCAUUUUCCAGCUCCUAGGAAUCCAGUACCUAGGAACUCAUCUUUUCCAGCUAGAAAUGGAUCUGCUAACAUGAGUGGAUCACAAGGAAGUUUUAAUAAUGCUGGAGAGAUGACAUGUCAGAUUUGUUUUAAGAAUGGCCAUACUGCUGAUGUCUGUUGGCACAGAUUUGUUGAAGAUUUUGUACCUGUUCCAAGAGGUUUUGGCAAGGGAAGAACACCAAGAGCAGCAUAUUUAUCAAACUUUGAUGGCUCCAUUUCUAAUCCAGAUUUUGGCUAUGAAAAUCUUAAUACUAUGUUUCCAGGUUAUGACUCUAUAUCUGGCAAUAGCUACUAUUCUGGAAUGGAUGGAUACACUUCUGGAGCAGCUAGAACAGCUUUCAUGGCAAAUUUUGAAGGGACUGCUGAUGAUGGAUGGUAUCUGGAUAGUGGGGCAACUCACCAUUUAACCAACAAUAUGGAGAAUUUGCAGAUCAAUGAAGAGUUUAAAGGUACUGAUUAGCUUAUCAUUGGAAAUGGUCAAGGUUUGUCUAUUACUCAUGUUGGACAUGCAUUUCUGGUAUUAAGAGCUUCUAAACCCUUAUCUACACAUGCUAGAAUAAAACUUAAAGAUAUGUUACUUGUCCCUUCAAUUACCAAAAAUCUAUUAAGUAUUUCUAAACUCACAUCUGAUAACCCUUUAUCUGUUGAAUUCUGUGGAAAUGCUUGUUUUGUGAAGGACAUGAAGGGUCAAGUUCUUCUGCAGGGUAUUGCUGAAAAAGGCCUUUACAAGCUGCUGCUGAACUCAAAUUCUCUUUCUUCAUCACCUACAUCUUAUCUUUGUAAAUCCCAGCCAAAUAAACUAGUCUCUAUGUUGUCUGCUUUCAAACACUCUGAUAAUGGUACUCGAGCUUGUUUUCAGUUUGUUUUAAAUAAGUGUAAUGCCAAACCUAAUGUAAUAACUUUGUUACAUAGAAAGUUUGGUCAUCCAAGCUCAAUGACAUUGAUGCAUUUGCUCAAAUCAUGUAAACAGUUUAAAGUCUCUCCAAAAGACAUGUUAUCUUCUGCAAGUACUUUAUGUGAAGCAUGUCAGCUAGGCAAAGUCCAUAAGCAACAUUUCUCAAUAACCGAAACAAAAACAAAAGAGGUAUUAGAAUUGAUCCAUACUGAUCUUUGGGGGCCUUCACCCACUGUGUCUAGAGAUGGAUACAAAUAUUACAUUAGUUUUGUGGAUGAUUACACUAGGUACUCUUGGAUCUAUCCUCUUAAGCUCAAAUCACAAGCAUUUGAAGUUUUCAAAUUGUGCAAAACUCAAGUUGAAAAUCAGUUUGAUACCAAAAUUAAGAUGCUACAAUCUGACCUUAGGGGAGAGUUUAGAGCAUUUACUGAUUUUCUCAAUCAAAAUGGAAUAAUCUUUAGGCACUCAUGUCCUUACAUCCAUCACCAGAAUGGUCUUGUUGAGAGGAAGCACAGGCAUAUAGUUGAACUAGGAUUAACCCUCAUGGCUCAAGCAAAUCUUCCUCUUCAAUUCUGGUGGGAAGCUGUUCAUACAGCAGUGUAUCAUAUUAAUAGAUUGCCUACCCCUGUUCUGAAAUUCUUAUCUCCUUAUGAGAAACUUUUCAAACACAAACCAGAUUACACAUUUCUAAAGUGUUUUGGUUGUCUUUGUUAUCCAUACUUGAGAGACUUUAACAAACAUAAGUUUGAUUUUCACACUUCUAAAUGCAUUUUUAUUAGAUACAAUCCCUCUUAUAAAGGAUACAAAUGCUUAGCAAGUUUUGGUAAAGUCUAUGUUCUUAGACAUGUCAUUUUUUAUGAAACACAUUCCCUUAUCCAAUAAACAUUGCAUUCUCAACAGAAAAUCACAUAUCUUCUAAAACCUCAGUGUCUAAUUUCUCUCAGCAACAUAUCUAUCAUCUUUCUACAAUAGCCUUACUCAACAGCAGCUUUGAAGGUCUUCAGUCAGCAAGCUCAGCAAGAAAUGAACAAAUGCCCUUUGGUCCCACACAUACAGAUGUUUUGAAUCAACAAGAACAUCCAUCACACACAUCCUUAGAGUUAUCAUCCUCAACCUCACCAUCACCAAACACAUUACUAAUGCAAUCAUCCAUUCUACAACCAGAGGAAACUUCUUCACAGAAUAUAGACCAAAUUCAAACCAGAAAUCAUUCCCAACCAUCUUCUCAUCCAAUGAUUACCAGAUCGAAAUCUGGAAUCUUCAAACCAAAGGUCUAUACAGUCACCUUAGCCAACAAAGAACCCAGUACAGUUCAAGAAGCUCUUAGUAGUCAGAAUUGGCAUCAAGCCAUGGUAGAUGAGUAUGAAGCUUUGAUGAAGAAUAAGACUUGGUCACUGGUACCAUUUUCAAAUGCAUACAAAGUAGUUGACAACAAAUGGGUGUUUAGACUCAAGCAAAAUACUGAUGGAAGCAUAGCCAAACACAAGGCCAGAUUGGUUGCCAAAGGUUUUCAGCAAACUGAAGGUGUGGAUUACUUUGAGACAUUUAGCCCAGUUGUAAAAGCUUCAACAGUGAGGAUUGUUUUGAGUUUAGCUGUGAUGCAUAAAUGGAAAAUAAGGCAAGUGGAUGUGAAUAAUGCCUUUUUGAAUGGAGAAUUGACAGAGGAUGUCUAUAUGUAUCAGCCUGAAGGUUUUAUUGAUCAACAAAAACCUAAUCAUGUAUGCAAGCUGAAGAAGGCCUUGUAUGGCUUAAAGCAAGCUCCUAGAGCUUGGUAUGACAAGCUUAAGAAUUGUCUGAUUGCUAAUUGGAAAUUUCAGAAUUCAAAGGCUGAUACCUCUCUUUUCUUCAAAGAAGUGCAGGGCUCAAUGAUACUCAUCUUAAUCUAUGUAGAUGACAUUCUAAUGACAGGACCUGACAAUGGUGAACUGGAGAAAUUCAUCUCAAAAUUCAGUAAGACUUUUGCUUUAAAAGACUUGGGAAUUCUGUCAUAUUUUCUAGGAAUAGAAGUGUCCUAUGCUGAAGAUUGCAUCUAUCUAUCUCAGAAGAAAUAUAUCUUGGAUUUGUUAUCCAAAGCUAAUAUGCAAAAUUGUAAAGGCUGUGACACUCCCAUAGUUACUGGAUCAAAGCUUCAGAAAGAAGUCACAGGCUGUUUGGGUCAAUAUAUUGAGGAUGCAACAAGCUAUAGAAGCUUAGUUGGAGGUUUACAAUAUCUAGUAUUAACCAUACCAGAGAUAGCAUUUGCUGUGCAUAAGUUGAGCCAGUAUGUGACAGCUCCAACACUCCAGCAUGUUAUGGCUUGUAAAAGAGUUCUUAGAUACCUCAAGGAGACUGCAGAUUAUGGUUUGAAGUUUUCAGCAGGUGGGGAAAUGAAGAUCACAGGAUUUACAGAUGCAGAUUGGGCAUGUGAUGUUGAUGACAGAAAAUCAAUAGGAGCCUAUUGCAUUUAUUUUGGAAGCAAUCUAAUUUCCUGGUCAUCCAAGAAGCAGGCUGUGGUUACACGAUCCAGUGCAGAGAGUGAAUAUCGUGCUCUUGCUUCUGCAAGUGCAGAGAUAACAUGGAUCCAGUCGUUAUUCAAUGAACUUAGCAUUAAGUGUACUUCAUUACCAACUAUCUGGUGUGACAAUAUAAGUGCAACAGAGUUGGCCAAGAAUCCAGUUUAUCAUUCAAGGACUAAACACAUUGAACUGGAUAUGCACUUUAUUAGAGACAAGGUUUUGGCAAAGGAGUUAGAGAUUAACUAUAUUCCCAGCGAGGAGCAAAUUGCUGAUGCUUUGACAAAGCCUCUGACAUUUAUUCAUUUCAACUAUUUCAGAGCCAAACUCAAUGUGCAACCAUGCCCCUUGAGUUUGAGGGGGACUGUCAAGGAAGCUCAUAAUGCAUGGAAGGAUGCAGCACACGUGUGAGAUGAAUAUAGUCAGCUGAAUCAAUUGAAGAGUGGAGUGCCAGCUCAGCUGAAGUUAGUUAGACACGUUAAGAUCAAGUUUUAGUUAGUUCUUCAUUUUCUGUUAAGCUGAAAAACAGCUGAGUAUAAAUACAAGCAUAUUGUAAUCAUUUUGAAGUUAAGUAAAAAUAAAAUAAAGCAUUUGAUUCCAGAAGUUCUUUUACAAAUUUUCUUAGCACUUUAGAUACAUUUUCUCAGUAACCAAACAGUCUGUUCAUUCAAGCUUUUAAGCUUUCAAACAAGUACUUCUAGCAUAGCCGCCGCUACUUGAGCCAUACAGAGCCGCAUGUGCCUCGGUGAAGUUUGUUGACAUAGGCUCGUAGUAUUCAGCUGUAACAACAUGAACCUAAUUCAAGUUUCGUUGCAUCGAUUUCAAAAGGUACGAAUUGUCUGGUGGUAAAUAACGAAAUCUUGCGGUCAGGAUCAGCUGGGAUUGCUGGCGGCCAGAGUUUUUUGCCUCUAAUUGUGUAGCAGCUCGGCACUCGUCAAAGAAUAAACCCGUAUUGGACAUAUCGGUGCUCGUGUUCGGAGCUUUCCAAGCAAAGUCUAGGCCCUGAAAGCCAUAAAGCCUAGCUAUUCUUAUUGAAGAGUCGAUGAAAGAUUUCCUGUGAGAAGAAUUUCUCACCAUUGAAGAAUAUAUAGAAUAGUUUGUAUAUCUUCCUUGUCUAAUGGAGAGAAGUGUAGUGGUUGAUGGGUUCUUUUGUUUCACAGUGCCUGUAAAUUUGGGGAAUAUUUGAUUUCCAUCAAACGGUGAUGAUAAAGAUAGCUGGUAAGUGGUGGAAUUGAUAUCAGCGUAAGAGCAGAUAAGGUGAGUGAAGAGAUCAUAAUUUAUGCCCGAAAUGGUGGACACUUCGCUUGGAUCCAAGUAGCCGACCCUGAUCCACGGUUUUGCUUUCGCGGGAUGAAAUUCUGAAUAGAACAACAUGUGGAAGAUGAUGCUGAUAAUUAUGGAUGCCAUUUGAGAGGCUUAUGCUUCUUAAUUACCACUUCGAUGGGAAUGGAAAUGAAUGCACACUAAUAGAAAUUAAAUAAACACAAGUUUCACAGUUCAUUAAGCUCUCAUGUGUACUAUUAACGUAUAGGUUCAUUUCGUUGCCCAAAAAAAUCUUAUGUGCUCCUGAUAGGGACACAUACAUUGGAUGAUAAGAUGAUGAUAGGCGAUGCGACCAUUGCCCAAGAACUAAGAUUUUCUUCUAUCGCGUGGGUGACUUUUCAUGAAGAAAAAUGAUGUUUUGAUUGACAUAUGGUUAAACCGAUGCCAUAUUUCGGGCUACAAAUAUCAGUAUUGUUUUAUUAAAUAAUUAAAAAAAUUAAUUUUACGUGCAUGUUGAAGGUAAUAUUGCAGUCUUUUGAGCCUGUGUUGAAUUUCAUUCGUGUGCGUUCAUUUAUUAUCUAUCCUCUUUUUUCUCUGUGUGUCUGCUAGCUCUAGUCAUCUUAAAAGAAUAACAUGUUUAAUUAAUGCAUGUAAAUGCACCGCAAAAGUAGUUAAGAAAGACUUGAUCAAAGAUCAGACAUUUUCUCUCUACUCAAAAAGUAGUUAUUGGACUAAUUAAGAUUCUAAUCCCUUUAAGAAAUAUUGAAAAAGGGUUACUGUCACUACUUCAGUCCUUGUUGUUACAUAUAUAUAUAUAUAUAUAUAUAUAUAUAAAUUUAAAGAAGCAUCACAUAAAUCCUUCCUAAUUAUAUUUUGUUUCAUUCAAGUUGUUGACUUAAUUUGUCUGCUUGGAAAAAUUAGUAAAAAGGUAAAAAUAAAAAAAUGUAAAUUCUACUUAUUAGACUAAAUAUAUAGUAUAAAUUUGCAGCAACCAGCAAAAGUUUGGAAUAUGAAAAAUCCUAUUAAUUUUUAAAAAAUCUCCGAAAGUUUGAAAACUAAUAUUUUAAGGUCCUUUUACAAUAACCAUAAUUAACAUGAAUUUACUAAAUUAGGCAAACCCGAAUUACUACCAUAUAAUAAAAUUUUAUAACAGAAAUAAGAAAACAAAACAAAUAGCAUCAAAUCUUAUAUCUAAAAAAAAAUCUUGAAAUAAAUAGAAAAAAUAAGAAAAUAACUAAAACUUGCAAAAUGACCAUGAAAGAAAUGAAAUUUCCGACUGAACCAAAGGGCCAAUACACAUAGCAUUAUUGGACUAGAUCUAUCAUGGUGCAAACUUCAAAACAGUAUAUUAUAUUUUCUAAAUGGACACAUAUAGGUUAAGUUAUGAUAUUAAAAAAUAUCCUAUUCAUCUUACACAACCAUUCUAUGUCACUAUAUCUAUACACUAAUAAUAUAACCCAAACAUUUAUGGAGCAUAACUCACAGACCUCCACUAAUUACACUAAAGUUUACUCUCAUUUUAUAAGAGAGAGAAAUGUUCUCGUUCUCCAUUUAUGGGGGAUUAAACCAAAUGGUCUGUUUUUGAUUUUCUGGUAAGUUGUGUAACGUUGGAGCUUUUUGGCACUUCUUUGACGAAAAGUCGUUCUCUUCGACAACCCAAAAUUCGGGCCAAUGGGCAAUUAUGAAAGUCCAUUGGAUGCAUUGGACCAAACUAAAAGUCCAUAUAUAUAUGUAUAUAUAUAUAUAUAUUCAAUAAAUGAAAUGAAAAAAUGCAAUUGGCUUGCAGUUGCAAAGCUUCUUUGUUUAUUAUUAUAUAAUAUAAUAUAAUAUAAUUUUAUAUCAUUUUGAAUAUCAAAAUUUUAUUUCAAAAUUUAUUUAACACUAGUGUUUAAUAUAAGAUACAAUACUACCAAAAUUCUAUUCAAUAGUUUAUUUAAAAUAGUAUUGACUAUUAAAAAUAAGAAUUUACACUAAUAUUAAAUAUUAAAUUCAACAAUUAGUAACAUUAUUUAAAAUAAUUAUAGUAUUUAAAUGGUUAUUUAUCUUUAUUAAAUAAGAUUUAACAUAAUCCUCUGCGACAUUUUACUAAAUAAAUACAGUACUAUAUAUAAUCCAAUCUAAUCUUAAACAAUAAUCUAUUCUAUUCCUACCUUCCAAAUAUAAACACAAUAGAUAAUGAGAGCAUGAGCUAUGAGAUUAUAAAUCAUGGAUCAAGGGAGUAGAGAUACAGACCUUGAGAUCAUAGAUCGUAGACUAUUAGAGACUAAAGACCGUGGACAAAUCCGAGUACAUUAAAAAAAGGGGAAUUUUAGUCAAAUGUAGAUUGAUAUUAAGGAAUUCAGCAAGCAAGCUACAAGAAUAUCCAAAAGCGUGUAAUUUAUGUUUAAGGAAACAAGUGGAGAUAGAGAUGAAAUUGUAAAUUCAUCCCAAUCUUAAGUGGCUUAAUUCAAGAUGUAUGUUACCUACAAGCACAAUAAUAUGUACACGUUAUGUAUACAUGCAUCACAUACGUGCGUCGAUCAUCGAUGUAAAAGUAACAGUAAAUUUCUAGUAAAACAAACAUCAUUACUUUUAGUAUAAGAUGUAAAAAAUAUCAAUUAAUAACCAUUAGAAAAUAAAAAUUUAUGUAAUUGAUGCAGAUAAAUGGAAUCAAGUAGUAACAUUUCCUUCUCAUUGAAGAGAAAAGAUUAAAAAAAAGAAAAGGGGGGGGGGGGGGGGGGGGGAGGAGCGCAAACAUGACAAUUAUUUUUAUCCGCACGUGCCAUGAUAAUCGAUAAUCCGAUAUACCAACCGCGUCUAAUUGUCUGAAUUCUCAAGCUUAUCAAGCUUGCUCAAUCGCACCGCAGACACUGACCAUGGGAGAUUAAUCACCACUCGCAGUAUUAGGCGCGUGAAGGACACAUUCGCCAAUAAUUUAUAGCGGACAGUAGCAUUCCCGAUGCUGCGCGGAGAAAAAUAGUUGGGCUUGCGAAAGUUAAAUUGACUUGACUCGACAGAGUGAAGAAUGGUGGUGGUUGCUGUUAAGCAGUCGGUACUUCUGGCGACUGCUUGGCUUACACGCAGUUCCCGGGGGUGUCAUUUGACUGUGAAAGAGAAUUUUGGCUUUAUUGAUAUCUUGUUGGAUUUGGAAUUUUGGAUGGCUUCGUGUAGACCAUAAGACACGAUAUCGUUCAUAACACGUUAGCAUUCUUUCUCACGGGAGAAAAACUCGGGUGGGAGCAGAUGUACCAUCUCAACUGCCGUUUAUAAAUGGCUGUCAAAUAAUUAAUCAAAAUUUUAUUAUUUACGGUUAUAAUUGGAAUGAUAAAAAAUCAAUUCGAUGUUAUUCUUUGUGGCUCUGCUUAGAAUACUAAAAAAUCAAAUCGACUUAUUUAUUUUUAUAUUGAUCAUUACAAGUCUCUUGAAUUUUUUACCUACUUCAUUAACUUGUUAUUUUGAGUUGUACGUAACAUGGCUUUUUUUGUUUUUUACUUUACUUUGGUUUUCUUUAUAACCCAUAAAAAUUUUCUUGUUAAGACUGUGUGAACCAAUUGAAACUUCAGAUUCAUACUAGAACUAUGAUGAUUUGAUAAGAGCUUCAAAUUAAAUCCACAGAUUCUAUGAAAAGAAAAGAAAAGAAAAAGUCUUUUAUUGGUAAAAGAAGAAAGCUCUUCGGCACUGAUCCGAAGAAAAAUCAUUCUCCAUACAAUGAGCAAAACAAAGUCCAAUUCGCAUUACAUAGAAGUAAAACCGAAGCAUUGGACUAAAAGCAUACAUUAGUCUUAUUUUUCGUUACUGAUAACAUUUUUUUUCCCUUAUAUUAUCACCUUAAUUAAGAAAAAUAAUAAUUUGUUUAACUAAUUACAAAAAAGGAUGGCUAUAUACAAUAUUCUUGUGUUGGAUGGCCUUAAAAGUCAAUUCUUUUGAAACAGGAAAACUGGUAUCGUUUUUCAAAACACAAAAAUAUUAUGUUAAGAAAAUGAAUGGUCUUUAAGAGUUAUGACAAUGAUAUCAAUAAAAUUACAAAAUCUUAAGAGUUUAUAGAUGUAGUUAGUGAUAUUACAUUACAUUAAUUAAUACAAUGCAAAUUGUUUACUAAUAGAGCCUCAGGAGAGUGAUUCAUUAUUUAGUUGGCCAAUUAAACAACUGCAGCAGUCACUAGCAGCUUGCCAAGAGCUAGCAUAGAUCAAUUGUUCAUCUACCAACCAAUUUUGAAAUUGUUACAUCAUUACUUGAACAUAUUUCCAAUCCAAUCGUGGCUUUGUUUUGUUCAUCUUCAUAAGCUUUGUUUGAGAAACUUGCAGGCUUCUUUGGAGUCAUUAUAUCAGCUGUAUUUUCAUUUUCGAUCAACGAAGAAAUUUCUAGUAUAGAAGGUCUAUUGUUUGGGUUCUCCUGAACACAUAGCAAAGCUACUUGCAGACAUGUCAAUAAUUUCCAUGAGGAAUGCGUAUCAUCUAGUGAUGGAUCCAUUAACUCCGUGCCUUUCCCAUCCUUCCACAACUCGUAUGCCUGAAAACAUCAAAUAUGUUAUUGACUAACAUUCAAUUAAUUAGCACUGUAAUGUUUUGAUUCAGUGAAUAUUAAAAAGGGGGUUAUGAAGAAACUUACAUACUCUACAAGGCUUAGAUUUUCAUUUUGACCAUAUCGAAUGAAAAGUCUUCGCCCACUUAUAAUUUGCAGAAGCAAAACCCCAAAACUGUAGACAUCAGAUUUAGUGGAGUAGAUGCCUCUUCCGACAUAUUCAGGAGGGAUAUAGCCUCUGUAGUAUCAAGUAAUUAUAAAUGUCAGUGUUUGACAUAAAAGAUUAAGUUGAUUGGUAAAGGUUCAACAAUAAUAUUAAAGGCAUGUCAGACAAUAAUAGACAAAUAUACACUUACUGUGUUCCAACAAUUCGAUUUGUGUUUGCUUCAAGAUCAUCUUUCACAAAAAUUCUAGCCAAGCCAAAAUAUGAUAUUUUAGGUGUCAAAUCUUCAUCCAACAAAAUAUUACUAACUUUUAAGUCUCGAUGAAUAAUUGUUAAUCUAGAAUAUUCUUGGAGAUAGAGAAGCCCCUGAAUAAUUCCUUAAAUGAUAUAAAUACGUUUUUUCAAAUCCAAAAUAAGCCUUCGGAUGGGAUCUGCAUCAAAUGUAAACUUAGUUGGACGGUCAGCACCAUUAGCAUUUGGAGACAGAGAAAUGCAAAUUGAGGCACAAAAAUUAGAAAUUAAGCAGUUAAGCACACACCAAAAAGGAAAUAGUCUAAGCUUCGUUUUGGCAUAUACUCAUAGAUGAGCAUAUAUUCUUGCGUGUCGAUGCAAAAACCCAAAACUCUGAUCAAAUUUAUGUGUUGAAGCUUUGCAGUAAGCAUAACCUCAUUCUUGAACUCCUCAAAUCCUUGUGUGGAUGUCUUCGAGAGUUUCUUCACUACUAUUAUUUGUCCAUCAGGUAAUGCACCCUGCAAGCACCCCCCAAAAUAUAUGUUUUUUUAAAAAUCAGUGUGUUCACACACACACACACGUAGCUUGCACUAAUUAAUUAAUAAGCUAAGAGAUAACCAAGCUACCGAUACAUAACCUUGUAAACAGGACCAUAUCCACCCUCCCCGAGCUUAUUUUCGAUUGAAAAUCUAUCCGUGGCCACCUCAAUAUCAGCCAAGCUAUAUUCUCUCAGAUCAGGAUCAUUGCUGUUAAAAUCUCCAGCAUCUGCUUGACUAUUUUCGCUGUCCUUUGAUGCUUUGGCUGAGUCAAUUACGGUCCAAUUAAUAUCAACCAAGAGAAAGAAAGCUAAUUUAAGUGAAUUGCCCACUUCUUCAUCUGUGUUAAAUGGAAUAGAAGUAAAAAUAUUCCUAAUCCCGUGUAGAAGAAGUUACCUUUUAAUUUGAGGUUUUUCAUCCAGCAGUAGUAAUACAGUAAAAAACCAAUUAGAAGAAUACAAGCUGCCGUUAUAGGGAAAACAAUUGCCCAUAAUAGUCGCUUAUUUUGUCGAUUCUUAUUUUCCUCUUGAGCUGAAAAGUCAAAUCACUUUGUGUUAGUUAAACAUUUGAUGGUCAAAUAAAGAUCUUAAUUGAAGUCAUUAUGCAGAGAACUGAUCAAAUGGAUAGCAGGCAGUGACUGAGGCUUUGCAUUUGCUUACCUGCAGCUUGAGAAAGCAUCCAAUAAUGAUCAUAGGAAACUAGCCACACAAAGUAACCACGUAGUUUCUUCUCCUUGGCAUAUGAAACCUUCACUCUAACGGCUUCGACAUCAUCAAAACCAAACCAAAUCUUCCCAAUCGAGAAGUAAUUCAUCACAUAAGUUGAAUUGUACAUAACUUGAACGUUAGGACCAUAGUGCUUGAUGCGAUUCUUGAUUUCCUUAUAAGUCACAAGGCCGCUAGAAUACAAAGCUGGUCCUGUUGCUGCUGCACCAAUACCGUUGUCCUCAGGUUUCACAAGCGUCCAUGCAUAGCCAUAGAAAGGUAAACAUAAAACCAAUUUAUCAGCCGAUAACCCUUCCUCAAUCCAUUCCGUGAUUCCGUAUUCAGUAUUGGAGAUACUAUUUGGAUCAUACAGAGCCGCGUGAGCACCAGUAAAAUUUGACCACAUAGGUUUUGUGUAUUCAGUAGUCAAAACAUGAACCCAAUUCAAGUAUUGACUUAUCGAGUCGACUGGGUAAGCUCCUGCUCUUGAGAAUGGUGAAUAUGCGACCAUUGCCGUCAAAAUCAACUGUGAUUGGCUCGAGUUAUUUCUUGCUUCUAAAUCUACGGCUGCUCGCCACUCUUUAAAGAGAAUGCCAAUAUUGUACUUAUCCCAGCUUGUGUUUGCCUGAGGCCAAGAGAGAUCUAAGCCUUGAAAGCCAUAAAGUCUUCCUAUUUUUAUUGAGGAGUCAAUGAAGGAUUUCCUAGAAGAAGGAUUGCUCGCCAUGGAAGAAUAAGUUGAAUAGUUUGCAUCAUUUCCUCCGAUGGAAAGAAGUGUAGUGAUUGAUGGGUUCUUUAUUUUGACAGUGUCAGUGAAGUUAGAGAAUUGUUUUUCAUCAGAAGGUGAUAAAGAAAGCUCAUAGGAAGUUGAAUUCGUUGAAACAAAAACAAACGUUAUGCCUUUGAUCGUGCAUUUCCAAAUAAACACAUAUUUUAGGUAAUUCCGAAAUUUACCACGAUCUCCCAUGAAUCCGAACUUGCAGCUUGUUAUGGAGCUUCAACAGAGUUGCUGCUGCUUCGGUCUAGCUUCUGAAUUCCGCUUUCUUUUCCUUCAGCUCCAGAUUCGGCUUUUCUCAGUAAGUUACUGUACACACACGGGAGAGAAACGGGAGAGAGAGAGAUGCACUGCACUCAUGCCAGAGAUUUCUUGAACAGUCAACUUCCAAUGGGCUGAAGUUACUUAAAUACAGUGGUUGAGCGCAGGGAACCCUCAUGUGUUAGUACAAAAUUACCCAUCCCAUUAUGGGCUUAAAUAACACAAUUAAGGAUAUACUUGUCCAUAAUAUACUACUGUACAGGGUAUGUCAAAAUUAGACUCAUUAACACCAUAUUUGAUCACUUAAUAAAUGAGUCUGUCAAAAUUGCUCAACAAUAUUUGACUUUAGUCACGUAUUAAUUCGGUAAAAUAUAGAAAAUAAUUAGAAUGAUUUAUGUCAGUCCACAUAAUGUGAGAAAUAAAUCUAACAGAAUUGACAUUAGCAAAACCACAUAUAAGGUGAGUGAAAAGAGCAGAAUUUACAUCUGAAACGGGGAACCCGUUGCCUGAAUCCCAGUAACCAGCUCUGAUUAAAGUUUGUGUUCCUGCAGGAAGCGAUUCUGAAAAUAUAAAAAUGUGGAGGACAAGAAUGAUAAUUUUGGAUGCCAUUGUGGGAACCUAGCUGCUUUGAGGCAUACCUAGUAAGUGAUUACAUAUAUAUGUACACACACAAUGUAAUGGAGAAAAUAUCCGAUAGCGAUUGAGAUUAGUUAUUGGACUAUAAUACA
This 86967-nucleotide long non-coding RNA is filed under the name Citrus maxima (pomelo). RNAcentral's name for it is "long non-coding RNA (CMAX_LNC003492)". The record is from RNAcentral. Lineage: Eukaryota; Viridiplantae; Streptophyta; Magnoliopsida; Sapindales; Rutaceae.